AAAAUGCUAGAAUAUUAAGAAAAUACUUCAAAUAUCAUUCAUAUGGUUUCGCUCUCUUUCACUUUGAUACUCUAUGGUUUAAAGUGUAUUAAUUGAGUAUCUUGUGGUUUCGCAUUUUCUCACUUUAAUACCCCGUAGUUUAAAGUGCAUCAAUUUAGUACCCUGUGGUUUCAUUUUUCUCUUUUCGUCGGCUGCUCUGUUAAUAUUUCGUUAAAUUAUAUACAAAAAAUUUCAGAUACCCUACCUAGUUUUAUCGAAUAUUUACUCUAGUACCUUUUAGUUUUAACUUUGUCAUUGAUUUUUUUUCCUCCGUUAAUAUUUCGUUAAAUUAUAUACAAAAAAAACUUCAUAUACCCUAUCUAAGUUUAUCGAAUAUUCAUUUUAAUACUCUUUAAUUUUAACUUUAUCACUGAUUUAACGAAAAGAAUUAGUGAAAUGAAUAAUAAAAAGAGAAAAAUAAAACCACAGGGUGCUAAAGUGAGAAAGUGCAAAAUUAUAGGGACUAACUUGAUACACUUUAAAUCACAGGAUACUAAAAUAAAAAAGUGUAAAACCACAAGAACUGUAUUUGAAGUUUACCCAAAUAUUAAUGACCGUCCCAGUAGUACUAUUUCAUGAGUACACAAAAAAUUCCCUUUUUAAUAGAAGAAUUUUAUAGAUCAUACUUAAGUCCUUCUCCAAAUUAUUUUUUUUAAAAAAAAGGCCAACUUUUUGAAUUUAUCAGAAUCCUAUAAGGAGCUUAAUUCCCAUCGUAAUUUUCGCUCAUUUGCACUAUUAUUCUGAUAAUAUUAUAAAAACAAAUGAAAUGGAUGAUUAUAUCAUAUUCUUGAAAUUUGCGGUGGAGCUGCACAAAGUGCGAACUCCAGUAAUUCUCNAGGAGUAAAAAGAUAUCCGAGAAUUUUAUUUCCAUUCAUCCUAUUACUAAGAAUGUAGUAUUUCGAUGUUUGAUUCGUACGGUCAUAUUAUUUAGUCAUAUUAUUUAAGAUUACGAAAAAUAUACAAUUUAUUUAUUUAUUUAAUCUUAAAUAAUACUAUAAAAAAUUUCAACAUCUUUUUAGAAAAAAGAGAGAAUAUAUAAGUUAGAAAGAGAAAGCAUAAUUAAAGAAAUAGAAAGAGAAAUAGAGUACAGGGUAGAAAGAAUGAGAGGGUUGAGAUUUUAGAAAAAGAGUGGAAAAAAUAGCUUAAUUUAGAGAAAGAAAAAAAGUUGAAGUUUUUUUAAAAAAAGAUAAGUUUAGAGAGAGAUAUGAGGUUAGAGUGUAAAGAAAAAUAAUACCAACUAGCCGAUGGGUGGAAAGAAAAAAAGAGAUUAGACAUAUUAUAAUUACUCCAAUCCAUUAAUAUAAGGAUACCCACCCUCCCUCAAAAGAAUAAGAUUAGUACUUUGGAAUGCAUCUCAUUCCCUAGUAAAUCUAGUAUUACCAACUAGAUUACUUAGUCGUUUAGCCAAACACCGGCAUAUUUUUUUAUUCCUAUUGGAUUACUAGGAAUCUUAAAAAGAUAGCGCGAACCAAACGCACCCUAAAAGUAAAAGACUAAUGCUAUGUAUCAACUAGUUAUCUUAAACAACAGGCAUGAUACACUUUAAGAUUUUCUGACGUUUAUUUAAUGUUCGAUAUUUUUUUCACUUUCUAUUAUCAUAUAUUAUGAUUCUCAGUCUCAUUUACUCUUAGAUAAUACAAAUAAUCUAAGGCUAAAUUAUACAUUCAUUUUUUUAUUUUUUUUUCCGACUUUAAAAAAUCUAUAUUUUAUCCUUUUAAAAUUUUAAAAAUAUUUUAAGAUGGUACAAUCUUAAUGGAGAGAGCAAAAUAAUCAAAUUGACGUUACUUUUCUAUAAAAUAAAAAUAAUUUUUUAAUAUAUUUUUAUUAUUUUAAAGAAUAUUUUAGAAAAAACGAUAAGAAAUGGACGGAACAAUAAUAAAAUCCUAACGGAACAGUUUAAAUAUAAUAAUUUAAAAUAUUGACAGGGUAAAAUGUAGAUUUUGAAAGUCACGAGUAAGAGUGAAAGUAUUUACUUUUCUCCAAUUUUGGUUGCUUUAGUUAACCCAAUGGCAUUUUUGUAAAAUAGAGCAACUCCAAGCCCUCUUCUGCCACCCUUCACAAAAUCUCCCCCACUCCGCACUUUUCCCUUUACUCUUUUUUUUUCUUUCUUUUUCCUACAACUCAACACCCAUAAAUUAAAACCAAAAGAAAACAAACUCCAAAAUCCCUUCACCACAGAUCCCAAGAAGAGAAAGAAAAGAAAAGAAAAGAAUGGAGCAGAGAAGCACCUGCAGGAGAGCUAAGCUUCCAUUCUCAGAAAACAGCUUCAGCUUCNCAGUAUGGCAUUUAAGUGUUCCCUAUAUAUUUCUAUUCUUUUCUACAAGGAUUUCCUAUUUAUGGAGAUUAUAAUAUGAUUACGUGCCGUAUAAAUGAGAAACUUUUCUUUUCCUCAUAAAAUCCUAUUUAUGGAGAUUAUAAUAUGAUUACGUGCCGUAUAAAUGAGAAACUUUUCGUUUCCUCAUUGGAAGAUUUCAACUUAGAUGAUGUAUUGUUACAUUUAUUUUGCCACAUUCUUGACAAGGUCUAUCCUAAUACAAUCUCUUGAUGAGAGGAUAUCUUUUAAGGUGCGUUUGGUUCGCACUAUGAAAGAUUACUAGGAGUAAAAAGAUAUCUAAGAAUCUUAUUCAUAUUGAUCCUAUUACUAAGAAUAGUAUUUCGGUGUUUGGUCGUACGGUCAUAUUAUUUAGUCAUAUUAUUUAAGAUUACGAAAAAUAUACAAUCAAUUAAUUAAUUAAUUUAAUUAAUUUUAAAUAAUACUAUAAAAAANNNNNNNNNNNNNNNNNNNNNNNNNNNNNNNNNNNNNNNNNNNNNNNNNNNNNNNNNNNNNNNNNCUCCGCACUUUUCCCUUUACUCUUUUUUUUUCUUUUUUUUUUUUUUUUUUUUUUUUCUCCUACAACUCAACACCCAUAAAUUAAAACCAAAAGAAAACAAACUCCAAAAUCCCUUCACCACAGAUCCCAAGAAGAGAAAGAAAAGAAAAGAAAAGAAUGGAGCAGAGAAGCACCUGCAGGAGAACUAAGCUUCCAUUCUCAGAAAACAGCUUCAGCUUCUGCUUCUGCUUCUGCUUCUGCCUCACAAUCAUUCUCUCUCCUCAGUGCACCCAUGCAUACAAAAACUACACAGUGGGGGACUCAUUGGGGUGGUAUGAUAACUUGAUGGAGCCCAAAGUGGAUUACCAGAAAUGGGCUUCUGGAAAGAUCUUCAGCCUUGGAGAUUUCCUCAGUAUGUUUCUAAAACCCCCUCAAAUUUAGGGCACAAAAAAAAACAAAAAAAGUCAUGAUUCAUAGCUAAAUAUGGUUGGUGUUUGUUGUUUCUUAAUCAGGAGUAUGGUUUAUUUAUAGUUACUUAAUUCGUGAAUUAUUUGCGAAUUAUUUAAAAUCUGAAUAAAAUAGUCCGUAUGCGAUUUAUUUUCAAAAAUCGGAAUAAAACGCGAAUUUUUGGGGUUAGAUUUAUUAUUCGUGAAUAAUUCACGUAUGCCAAUCUAUUCGGCCAAAAAAACACCCAAAAUUUUUAUAUAAAAUCUCUUGCCGAAUUAUUUAUGAAUUAUGGAAAAAUUUUAUGAACAUUCGGAAUAUAUGGAUCAUGAAAAAGGUGAAUAUAGAGAUAACAAUAUAAUUUGUUAUUAUUUUUUUUACUUAAUCUACUUUAUUUUGUAGAUUUCUAUUCUUAUAUUCUUAAGAAUUUAUAACUAUAUAUGCUAGUAGCAUAAAUCUAGAGAAAAGGGCUUAGUCUAAUAAUGAAUUUUGAUCCCAAAUUUUUCAUUUGGUGAACGUAUAUUUUUUUGUAUAAAUUGCGUACCCGAAUAAUUGGUGAAUCCAUUUUUUAAGCAGUAUUUUUCAACAAAUUUAAAAAUUGAGAUACGAAUUUUAUUCGAAUCUUUGGCGAAUUCGAAUUAACUAACUAUGGUUUAUUACAUUAGGAUUGCUAUUUUGAUGGUAGUAUAGGAGGUUCACUUUUGCAUCCUUUGUUAGGUUCAUUUUAGGAAAUUAUUCUAUUCUUCAUGAUCAUGUAGAAUUUUGAACUUUUUAGAACAAAAAAUAGUUGGAGUUGGGCAAAUAUUUUUCUCUGUUUAUUUGGAAAAACUUAUUUGUUGGGAAUUUUCUUUCUCAGUGCUUUUCUCACUUGUUUAUGAAUACUAUUUCCCUAAUAAAAUGUCAUUUAUUACCAACCUAAAAAGGAUCACUUGGAGUAAAAGAAAAGUAUAUACCUCUUUUAAAUAUAUAUACAUAUAAAGUAUAGUGGGACUAAAAUUUUUUAACCGGGUUAUCAUAUUUUGGACAAUAACAAGACCUAAAAAAUUAAGAGAGUUGAGCAAGCUUAUGGGUACUAGAGUAGUUUUAUGCGUGGUUCCAGCGGAAGCCGAGCAUCGCAUGAUCAUAUUAUCUAAAUAGCAGUUUUAUUAAAUAAGAUAUUCAUGCAUUCAAACAGAGUCUUUAACGUAGUACUUUCACAGUCUUCAACACGGACAAGAACCACUCGGUGGUGCAGACGUACAACGCGACGACGUACAAGCUCUGCGACUACAACGACGCGUCGGACGGCGACACGGUGGAGUGGUCGGCCGGCGAGCCGGAGUUCAGCAAGGCCGCGGUCACGGUGGCGGUCCCCCUCCUCAAGGAAGGCCCCACGUACUUCUUUUCGGGGGACUACGACGGCGAGCAGUGCGAGAACGGCCAGCAGCUCGCGAUCAACGUCACGCACGGCCAGGGCCUGCCAGACAGCCUCAAGAACCCGUCCGACCAGUCGUCACCGGCCCCCGCCAGUCCUGACGACGAGAAAAGCGUUCCCGACACGGUGGUUCCGUCGAACUUCGACCAUCCGACGACAACGACGAACGACACCGCCGUCGAGCCGACGUCGGAUGCAGGGACCGUAGCCCGGAAGUUCUGUAGACUGAGUUUGGGUUCAGCUGUGCUUGUUUCUGUUCUGUGCUUUAGCAUUUGAGUGUGACUCAAUUCUCUGUUUCUGCUGUGUUCGUGUGUUGCUUUUAUGAUUUAUUUAUUUAUUUAUUUGUCAGAAUAGUUGUAUUCUGCAUAUACUGUCACUAUGGAGCAAUAGCAAUAAGUUUAUUGUUUUGUCUCAGCAAAAUCUGCUUCUUUUUCAGCAUCAGAAUAAAUAUUUGCUCUGUCAACAGCACAUUGGUUCAUUUUCAGUUUGUAACUAAAAUUGGAGAGAUUAUAUGAUUUUUGUGUUUUAAGAAAAGAACAAUUAUAGGACAUACUUAACAAGCGUGAUCGAUCGAUUGAGAUCGACGGAUCUCCUAAUCUACCAAUUGACCGACUUUCAGUAGUAAAUUGAACCGAACCGUCGUAUCAACACGACCAACUUACGGCAAUUCAUCGCAUCUGGAGUCGCUGUCGAGGUGUGGUUUACUCUUAUAUGCUUUCAGAAGUGAAGAGCGAACUAGCAGGUGGUUUGAAAUGUGAGAAGUUCGGAGGCGACUAAAUUGAUUCGAACCAGAGUGGCGAAAUCUACGAACACUUGUUGAGAGGAUAUAAACAUGACUCCAUAAUAAAAUAUAUCAUCAGAGAAAAAGAUGAACAUGGACAUAGAAGCAUACAAGAAAAACAGAAGGCCUUUUUAUCAGGCACUAAAAUUUGUAGCAAUCAAUUCACUCGAAGAAGUUCAGCUGAUAAACUAAAGCUGACUAUAUGUCAGUACAGUAAUGUGUCGAAGAUUCGGGGAUCAUAAAAGGGAAAAGAAUAACAAAACAGAAGUAGAAUACAAGUUCAUUUUACAAGAUAUACCAAAUUUCAGAGAUCUGCAGCUUCUGAAUGUAGUAGAAACCAUGAGACUGCAACUUUGUUUUAUAUAUAUAUGUUUUUUUCCUUUCAUUUUCUGCUUCCAGUUCAGAAAAACAUCUAGGCCAAACUUGUUCUAAUUAUCUCUGUUCUCCAGUUAGAAAAUGUACCACUAAACUGAACAUUGAAGAAGCAAUUCAAAAACGUACAAAAUUUAUCCGAACUAUGGGCCAUUUCGAAUCGGCUACUGAACCAUUCAAAAUUUUGAAUUUACUACCCAAUCUUUCAAUGUGUUUGAUUUUAGUCGGUCAACGGCACUUUGGCUUCAAAAUUUGAACUCAUUCCUUUAAUAAAUUUAUAAUUGUGAGAAUUGUAUUAGUCAUACUAAUUAAAUCUAUAAAUAUAAAUAACGCAUUGAAAUUUUAAAAUCGAAGUGUUAUUGGCUGUCUCAAAUCAAACAAAUAAAAAAAUUGGGUAGUAAAAUCAAGAUUUUGAAAGGUUCGGUAGUCGAUUCAAAAUGGUCCAUUUUUCAUGUUAGUUGUAUACGUUUUUACCUAAAAAAUAUGAAGUAAAUGGUGUACCAUAUAAUAAAAGAUUCUGCUUAUCUGAGUAUUGAAUUUGAAUAUCUAAUUUAGACAAAUGAGUAACAUGUUAGCAAGAAAAAGCUACAUAUUCAUUAAUUCAUUCGAGGUAAAUGGUGUACCAUAUAAUAAAAGAUUCUACUUAUCUGAGUAUUGAAUUUGAAUAUCUAAUUUAGACAAAUGAGUAACAUGUUAGCAAGAAAAAGCUACAUAUUCACUAAUUCAUUCGAGGUAAUAUAUAUAUAUAUAUAUAUAUAUAUAUAUAGAGUCCGGCUACUAUACUAUUAUGAGUAUGAUGGCCCUCGUACUCAUAAGUUGUUUUUGAUGAUAGAGCUUCCUAAUCGACGAUCCACACCAUUAAACAUUAUCUAGCUCAUUUAAAACAUCUAGAAAUCAAAUUUUAUAAUUUUUUGAUAUCAUUUACCUUACGAUCAAAAGGUCACAAAAUUAAAAAUUUUUAACGGCCGGUAUGGGAUAUUUGCUAGUUUAACGGUGUAAAAGAAUCGAAAUCGGUUGAAUUUUUAUAGAGAAAUUUUAUUCACUACAUAGAUAAGAUCAAUACUCCGAUCUAAAUGUGAAGGAUCCGAUCAUACCAUUUUUAAUAUGUCGUUCGAUUUUGAUCGUUCAUUUAUACCCGCUUGAUGGACUUAUUAUGAUUUGAAAAAUUACGAAAUUUUUUUCUAAAAGUUUGAAAUAUUCUAGAUCAUAUUUAACGUGAGUGAUCGUCGAUUCGAAAGUUCCAUUAUUGAAAAUAACUUAUGAGUACGAAGGACCCAAUACUCAUAAGAGUAUAGCAGCCCUACUAUAUACAUAUAGUAAUAUAUAUAUAGAGAGAGAGAGAGAGAGAGAGAGAGAGAGAGAGAGAGGAACUACGGCUGAAAUACUAUAAAUAGCACAAGCUAUUGAUACUAUUAGAUUUCCGGUCAUUGGAUAAAAAUAUACGGCUAUGAUAUGUGGAUCCCUAGGGUUGAGUUAGUUAUUAGUUAAAUAGUAAAUAUACAGGUAAAAAAUUAAUUAAGAGUUAAAUCUAACGGCGGAAACUCGUUAGCACAACGCGCUUGGUGCUAUCAAUAGUAUUCCAGCCGGACUUAUAUAUUAAUAUAUAUAUAUAUUAUAUAUAUAUAUAUUAAUAUUAUAUAUUAUAUAUAGAAUUAGGCUGAAUACUAUUAAUAGUAAAACCUCCUUUUGCUAUCAAGUUUUUAACCCUGUGCAUGAAAAUUGUAGGGUCAGGACGAUAUUAGUCGGUUAGAGUUGAGUGGUCCCCUAGGGUUUAGUGGUCCCCAUUGGUUAUAAUAUUUAAUCCAAUGGUUAGAAAUAAUGAAAGAGUUGAUCCAAGGCUAAAAAACUCGGUAGCAACAAUUAGGAAUUUUACUACUAAUAGUAGCCAGUCCAACUCUAUAUAUAUAAUAUAUAUAUACAUGAUGAAGCUGCUAUGCUUCUGGAAGCACGGAGCUUCGUGCUUCCAAGUCGUUUUUCAUGUUGCGACUUUCGAAUCGUCGAUUGGCUCCGUUAAACUGAUCUAGAGUAUUUGAAGUACUAGAAAAUAAAUUAUGCGAUUUUUCGAUAUUAUUUGCCUUAGUGAACGAAAGGGCUCAAAAUCAACGGGCUGAUAAUAAAAAUUUUACAAAAUGUGAUAAUAUGACAUUAAAAUUUUAGAUCAAAGAUAUUGAUUUGUUUUAUAUAGUAUAAAAAUUUCUAUCAAAAUUUCAAGUGAUUUGGAUAUUUCUACACAUUAAACUUGCAACGGCUCACUACGGGCCAUUAAAAUUAGUUGAUUUUGAGCCCCUUCGAUCACUAGGCAAAUGAUAUCGAAAAAUCAAAAAUUUUUUCUAGGUACUUCAAAUACUCUAGAUAAGUUUAACGAAGCGAUUGACGAUUUGAAAAUCGCAACAUGGAAAACGACCUGGAAGCACAGAAGGCUCCAUACUUCCAAAAGCAUACUAGCCUCACACACACACACACACACCACACACACACACAUAUAUAUAUAUAUAUAUUAUAUAUAUAUAUAUAUUAUAUAUAUAUAUAUAUAUAUAUAUUAUAUAUAUAUAAUAUAUAUAUAUAUUAUAUGGCUGGAAUAUUAUGAUAGCAAAAGUUUUUUUUGCUAUCAAGUUUUGUAGGGUUGGAUAAUAUUAGUCCCUUAGAUUGAGUGGCCCACUAAGUUAUAAUAAUUUAAUCAAAUGAUUAAAAAAUGAAAGGAAUUGAUCCAAAGCUAAAAACUUGAUAGCAAAAAGGCUUUUGCUAUCAAUGUAUUCUAGCCCAGAAUACUAUUGAUAGCAAAAGACUCUCUUUGCUAUCAAAUUUUUAGCCUUUGGAUCAUUUAUUUCCUCAUUCUAAUUCAUUGGAUUAAAAUAUUAUAACCUAGUGGACCACUCAACUCUAAAUGACUAAUAUCAUCCUAACCUUAAAUUUUUCAUCAAAAGCUAAAAACUGAUCACAAAAAAGGCUCUUUUGCUAUAAUAAUAUUCCAGCCCAACUCUCCACUCUCUCUCUCUCUCUUUAUAUAUAUUUAUAUAUAUAUAUAGUCGGCUAUGCUGCUUGUAAAGCACCAAUCACUUUGUGCUUGUAGGUUUUAACCGUUAUAGAUCAGUAUCGUUGAUAUUUACAUCCGUGUAAAUUAUACUAUUCAACCAUCCCCACUCAACCUCUAGGGGGCCCAUAUCAUCCUAACACACUAAUUUUUUAAUCUAAGAGCUAAAAACUUACAAGCACCAAUGUCUUGAUACUUUAAAGCAUUAGAAGCCAGUCUAAUUAUUAUAAUAUAAUAUAUAUAUAUAUAAUAUAUAUAUAUAUAUAUAUAUAUAUAUAUACUAUAUCAUACAUAUAUAUAUUCUAAACAAGCAAAAUCAGGAAGGAAAAAAACUAAUAAAUGAAAACAUUGUUGCUCUUAUCGGGAAGCACGACACCGGCACUGCUCUCGGAGGGAGGGAUGAUCAUGUCCGCCAGCAACCGCUCCGAGUCCGUGUCGUGCCGGGCCGGAGUGCAGGUCAGCUGUGUGUGGGCCCUGGCCCGGCUACAGGCUGUAGGCCGCGCUGCUCUGCCUGGCCAGAUGGCCUGCCUUCCAUUUCUUUGCCGACGUUUGCAUUUCAAAAAAGAUAAACUUCAAUUUGCCCUCCAUGAUAAAGUGUGUUUCUGACUUUGUUUUCUCAUUGUUCGAAAAGUUUUUUUUUUUUUUAGAGAAAGGUAGUACGCUACCUGCUUCAUUCAAUAGGAUAAGUGAACUAAGCUUACAAGGUGGAAGCAGCUAAGGCUUCCUUGGCAAAAAGCGAACUCGGAGAACAGAGAAACAAAACAAAAGUGGCGAAAGAAGGAAGGAAGAAGUUAUAAAAAAGAAAGUGGGGAAGAGGAAAUUGGUUACAUGAGUGAGCUCCAGUCACUAAACAGGGUUGAGGCUCUGUCCAAAGCUCUCUCGACGUUGGGGAGGCUAGAACGGAAAGUUGUGCUUAACCAUCACAUGGUACAGUGUAUUUUGACCUUUGUUAGUUAAUUCGCGAAUUAUUCGUGAAUUAUUGAAAAUCCGAAUUAAACGGUCCGUUUACGAAUUUUUUCCAAAAAAAAAAAAUUAUUCGCGAAUUUUUGAACCAACCAAAUAAUUCGCGAAUUAUUCCCGAAUUAUUGAAAAUCUAAAUAAAAACUUAUAAUUUUUAUGUUUAAAUAUAUAUUAUCUUAUUUUUAUAUCUUAUAUUUUAUAUUUUAUAUCGAAUCCCUUUUUUAAGCCGAAUUUUUCAACGAAUUUAAAAAUUAGAAAACGAGUUUUAUGUGAAUUAUAUCCAUACUGAAUUUUUGCCGAAUCCGAAUUAACUAAUUAUGAUUUUGACCGUAUCAUCUCGUGUUCAAAAAAUUAUACUUAAUUAUCCUGUAAUUUUACUUUUUGAUUUACUAUAAGGAUCUACUAUUAAAUAGGAUAGUACCCUAUUUGAUGAUAAAUAUUUUCGUUGAAAUAAAAAUACAAUUAUAGAAUAAUUAAGUGCAACUUUUUGAACUUCGGAAUAGCUAAGUGACAAUGGGCUAUACCGCACUGCCGCACAAGGGGCGAAUUGAAGUUUACACUUUCAAAAAAAAUAGAAGUUUUAAAGUCUAGAAUCUCGCAUAAUAUCUCACUAUAGAUAUUUGGUGGAUUUUAAAAUAAAGAGGCUACAAGCAGCUUUCGAGAAAGCAAAGAGGAACGCCAUAAGGUUGUAUUGAUUGAUCGGUAUUCAAGAAUGCAAAGUAAAGAGAACAGAACGAAAGUAAACUGUGAACAGAAAAUAAAGAGUAUUAAAAAGUGUCCUCAAAAUUGGAGAGAUAUGUAGAUGCGGAUACAGGGCUCUAUUAAUUCCAAGUGAGAUUUCGAUAAAAAUAUGACCUAGUGAUCCAGAUUAAAUAAGAAAAAUAGUAGUCCAAAAGUACAUAAACCAAUUGACGGGAGAACCACACGACCACAAACAAUUUCAAGACACUAAAGAGCCAGGAGUCACGCAGAGAGACCAACAGGACGUUAUGAAGCUUCUACUGGAAGAAUACUAUAAUGAGUGACAUGGAAAAAGAUAGACAUGCAAAGUUUACCUCGAUUCACCAAUCCCGAAGAAUUGGUUCACGACAGAAAAAGGACAGCGAUAGAGGAUAGAGGAUAGCGAUAAGAAGCAAAAAAGAGAGGAGGAGGAGGACGUCCCUUCCCCGACUAGUCGUGGUUGUCUGUAAAAAAAAAAAAAAAAAAAAAAAAAAANNNNCUCGUGUUCGGCUAGUUUAAUAAACGAGCCGAACACGAGCCGACCCCAACUCGUUGGUGUUCGGCUCGUUUACACCCCUAGCUAUACCGCACAAGGGGGCGAAUUGAAGUUUACACUUUCAAAAAAAAUAGAAGUUUUAAAGUCUAGAAUCUCGCAUAAUAUCUCACUAUAGAUAUUUGGUGGAUUUUAAAAUAAAGAGGCUACAAGCAGCUUUCGAGAAAGCAAAGAGGAACACCAUAAGGUCGUAUUGAUUGAUCGGUAUUCAAGAGUGCAAAGUAAAGAGAACAGAACGAAAGUAAACUGUGAACAGAAAAUAAAGAGUAUUAAAAAGUGUCCUCAAAAUUGGAGAGAUAUGUAGAUGCGGAUGCAAGGGCUCUAUUAAUCCCAAGUGAGAUUUCGAUAGAAAUAUGACCUAGUGAUCCAGAUUAAAUAAGAAAAAUAGUAGUCCAAAAGUACAGAAACCAAUUGACGGGAGAACCACACGACCACAAACAAUUUCAAGACACUAAAGAGCCAUGAGUCACGCAGAGAGACCAACAGGACGUUAUGAAGCUUCUACUGGAAGAAUACUAUAACGAGUGGCAUGGAAAAAGAUAGACAUGCAGAGUUUACCUCGAUUCACCAGUCCCGAAGAAUUGGUUCACGACAGAAAAAGGACAGCGACAGAGGAUAGAGGAUAGCGAUAAGAAGCAAAAAAGAGAGGAGGAGGAGGACGUCUCUUCCCCGACUAGUCGUGGUUGUCUCUUAAAAAAAAAAAAAAAAAAAAAGGCAGGAGAGGGAAGAGAAGAGGAGGUGGAAGGUUCAAAAGGGAGAAAAAGGAAAGGUGGUUGGAGAGGGAAAAAUUGUUCUACUUAAGAAAAGGAGUUGAUUGCAUAAACCAUCCCUAACGUUUAUAUAUCUUCUUUAUUUAGUUCCUACUCUUUUAUUUUUUUACACUUGGACCCUUAAUUUUAAGAAUUAAUUAUACUAUUAGCCUCUAAUACUUUUCAUAAUUUUCACUUAGUCCCUAACUUUUUCUCCCAUAAGCAUACGCAUUGUAUCAAAUUUAAUCUCAUCAUCCCCGAUAUCUUUCCAUUUGCCUACAAUCAUCUUGACCUUACAUAUUAUACCUACUAUUUUUUUUUUAAGCAUCCGGUAUUCUUAACGUCAAGCCGGAGUACUGUCAAACUCUUUGAGAAAUAAAAAAUAAUUAGUGCUGAAAUUAACCGGAGGUUUCAGGACCAUAAUUGUUAUUUAUAUGAGUAGGCAAGGUUUUAUCGAAGUUGACUAGGCCUAUAAAAAGUUAGGGAUCUAAUAGCAAAGCAAAAAAUUAAGCCCUAAUAUCCCCGUCAACCUAACCAGGCAAUGUAAGGUCCACUUCACACUUCGUGCUGAUGAAACGGCUCUGAUAUCAAAUGUAAUGGCUUGGUACACUAACAAUAAUAACUCGUUGGAUUCAAAUCACUAGCCCAAAAUACUUAUACCCGAUUAUUAUCAUUAGGAUCCAUUGUCUCUUAUUAUUUUCACUCACAAUCCUGUUCUCAUUCAAUGUGGGAUUAUUGAGGUGUCACACAAACACUUUACAAAGUUGAGAGGAAAAAUAAUCUAAAUAACUUGUCUAUUUUAAUUAAUCACAGACUAAUAUCAAUUAGUUUGUCGCUAAAAUUGCCAAUCAUCUCAGUUUUAAAAAGAGAAAAUUAAAGAUUGAAAAUUUUAGCUAAUAAUUGGUCCUAUAUAUAUAUAUAUAUAUAAUCCUACUACUACAUUAUCAAUAGCACCAAACACUUGUUACUAUUAAUUUUUUUCUCAUUAGAUCUAUCAUUUUGACCAUUUUCAUCCGUUAGAUCAUAUUGUUUAACUAACCACCUACUCAACCCUAGGAGAUCACUAUCAUCCUAACCGCAUUUCCUUUCAUCCAAGGGAUGAAAACCUAAUAGUAUAAUAGUCUAAUUCAUAUAUAUAUAUAUAUAUGAGUAGGCUGGUAUGCUUUUGGAAGCACGGAGCCCUCUGUGCUUCCAAAUUGUUUUCGAUAUUCGGACUUUCGAAUCGACGAUGGGCUCGUUAGAGUUGAUCUACAGUAUUUGAAGUAUCUAGAAAAUAAAUUUUGUGAUUUUUCGAUAUCAUUUGCCUAGUGAUCGAAGGGCUCAAAAUCAACAAUUUUAACGGCCGUGGUGAGCCGUUUGCAAGUUUAACAGUGUAGAAAUAUCCAAAUCAUAUAAAAUUUGAUAGAAAAUUCUUUAUACCGUAUAACAAGCAUCAAUAACUUUGAUCGAAAAUUUUAAUGUUAUAUCAUCAUAUUUUGUAAGAUUUUUGUUUUCAGCCGUUGAUUUGAGCACUUUGAUCACUAGGCAAAUGAUAUCGAAAAUCGCAAAAUUAUUUUCUAAGGUACUUCAAAUACUCUAGAUCAAGUCUAACGGGACCAAUCAUCGAUUCGAAAGUCCGAACAUCGAAAACAACUUGAAAGCACGAAGCGCUCCGUGCUUCCAAAAAUAUACCAGACGCACUCACUUAUAUAUAUAUAUAUAUAUAUAUAUAUAUAUAUAUAUAUAUAUUAGGAGCACGAAGGCCUCCAUGUUCUUAAGCCAUUUUCGAUAAUGCAGCUUCCAAAUCGAUAAUCGGUUCUAUUAAAUUUGAUUUAGUGUAUUUGAAGUAUUUAGAAAAUAAAUUUUGUAAUUUUUCGAUAUCAUUGACCUAGCGAUCGAAAGAGUUUAAAAUCAACGCCUGAAAAUAAAAAUCUCAUGAAAAGUGGAGAUAUAGUAUUAAAAUUUUUCAUCAGAGAUAUUGAUCUUACAGUAAAUAGUAUAAAAAAUUUUCUAUCAAAUUUUUUUUUGAUUUGAAUACUUUUACACCGUUAAACUUGCAAACGAUAUAUACUAACCAUUAAAAAUUAUUGAUUUUGAAUUCUUUCGAUGAUAGAGUAGGUCUUGUGUGCUAUUAGGAGUACGGAGGCCUCCAUGCUCUUAAGCCAUUUUCAAUGAUGGAGCUUUCGAAUCGACAAUCAGUUCCGUUAGACUUAAUCUAGCAUAUUUGAAAUAUCUAGAAAAUAAAUUUUAUGGUUUUUUAAUAUUAUUUACCUAGAGAUCGAAAUGGUUUAAAAUCAACGGCUUAAAAUAAAAUUCUCACAAAAAGUGGUAAUAUAAUACUAAAAUUUUUAAUAGAAGAUAUUUAUUUUCCAGUAAAUAGUAUAAAAAAUUUUCUAUCCAAAUUUCAUCUGAUUUGAAUACUUCUACAUUAUUAAACUUGCAAAUAAUAAAUAUCAAUUAUUAAAAAUUGUUGAUUUUGAACCCUUUCGAUUGCUGGGUAAAUGAUAGCGAAAGAUCGUAAAAUUUAUUUUUUUAAAUAUUUCAAAUAUGUUAGAUCAAGUCUAAAAGAGCCGAUCAUCGAUUCGAAAACUGCAUUAUCGAAAACGGCUUAAGGCCACAGAGGUCUCCGUGCUCCUAGUAGCACACAAGUCCUACUAUAUAUAGUAUAAUUUAACUUUUUAAUUACUUAGUAAAUUAUUUUAGUUCGAUAACUAGUAAAAAAAAUAAUUAGAUUAAUAGAAAUAUUAAUGAUUGAUCAAUAUAAAUAUUAGUUUAUGGAUAAAAAUAUUAAAUUAGUAAUAAUUUAUUAGCUAAUUAAUAGUAAAUAAUAAAUAAAUUUAUUACUUUAUUAUUUAAGCAAUAAAUGAUAAUUUAAAUAUAUUAAUUAGAUUAAUUAACAAUUUAAUUUCAUAAUUAAAAUUAAAUUUAGACUUUAAUUAAUUAUGUUUUUACUUGGAAACAAGCUUGUUCCAGAAAAAAUGGUGGAACAGUAGUUCCAGUUCUAUACCGGAUUAUAUUAAUUUAUUCCAGAGAUUCGAAAAUUACUAUUCUCUGAUAUCAAACACAGCGUUUGGGAGCAAAAACUUAUUUUCCAACCAAACGCACCCUUUGUGUUUAGCUGGAUUAGCAGUAGAAUAUUUAUAUUUUUAUAUUAUUUUUUUUGAGUGAUUAUUAAUUAAAUAAAUUUUUAAAAAAUAAUUUAACAAUUAAAUUAAUUUAAAUAAAAAUAAUUUAAGUUGCUAUAUAUGCGACACAAAUAUUAUAAGAGUUUAUUAAUAAUUAAAUUAUUUUAUAAAAGCAUAUGUGAGAAAGAUUAGAGAAAAAAAGCUAUUAAAAUAAUUUAAAUAAACUAAUAAAAUAAUAGAAAAAUGGAAUAGUAGAGAAGGUAUUGCUCUGUACACCGGUAUGUCUAAAUACAUCUUACAAAUCAUAUUCAUAAAAGUUUGUUAUAAAAAUUUAAACUUUAUAAAUUUUUAUAUGUAGAUCUUUAUUUGGUAUAAAUCCCAUCUAUCGAUCGAAUUAGAUUUUAAUUUUAUAAUAUUAGUUUUUAAAAAAGUUGUUUCAAUACAUUAAAUAUACGAAUAGACCUAGGUGCAAGUAAUAAUUUAAAAUUUGAAUGGUGGAGGAGAAGUUUCUUGUGUCGCGUUUGUAAAUAAAUCUUGUACAUUACAUUUCUAAACUUUUAUUAUAAAAAUUUAAAUUCUCUAGUUUUUUAUACACGAACUUUUUAUAUGGUUUAGUAGCGUCUAUUAGAGUAAACACUAAUUUUAUAAUAUUAAUUAUUAAAAAAAUAGGUUCAGAGAUUGUAAUUUAUUAGUAGACUGAGUGUGGUAAAUUUUUUUUUUUUUUAUUAUUGUUGAAGUACAGGAUUGGGGGACACGUGGCUCUCCCAAUUCUCCCAACUAGCUCUUCUUUAAUGUCAUGUAAUAAUGUAAUAAUAAAAAAUAAAUAACAAUUUCUACUUCAAAAAUCACUUCUAUAUGUUUGAAGGUUCUUUAUUGGCUAAAAUAUAAAAAAAUUCCUUACAAAUAUUUAAUUUUGCAUUUUAUUCCUCUCUCUUUUAGAAAUCUUUAUUUUGCCUCUUUAAAAUUUAAAAUUGUAGCACUUAAUCCAACACUAUUAUUAUUCCUUUAAUAUUUUGUACAUAAAUUGUAGGAUAAAUUUCAAAUAUCACUUUAGUACCUUAUGGUUUAAAGUGUAUCAAUUUAGUACCCUAUGGUUUCUUUUUUUUUUCGUCAAUCUCUCCGUUAACUUUUUGUCCAAUCAUAUAAAAAAAACUUCAGAUAUCUCACCUAUAGUUUAUCGAAUAUUCACUUUAGUAUAAUUUAGUUUUAACUUUAUUACUGAUUUAACGAAAAAUAUUAGUAGAGAAAAUAAUAAAAAAGAGAAAAAUAAAAUCACAGGGUACGAAAGUGAUACAUUUUAAACCGCAGGGUACUAAAGUGAGAAAAUGUGAGACCAUAGAAAUGGUAUUUAAAGUUUUUCCUAAAUUGCAUAAAAUAACUGAGUAACUCACUAAAAUAUUUAUUAUACUAUUAGAAAGAUCGCAAUACAUAAGAAUUUUUUAUUUUCACUCAAAUUAGAUAACUGCACGAAAGAAAUCUUUCAUUUUUAACUAAUUAACUUUUUUUUUUCCGACAUUUCUAAGAUAAAAUGAGUACAUAAGUGAGCAAUGCUACAUAUACAUUCUAUUUGAGGUGUAUAUCCUACAUCUCAUUCAUCCAAUGGAUAAUGUGUUUUCACCGAUCAUUUGAUGUGACUAAUAGUUAAGACCCUACUUAUUAGAUGAGUGAGGUGUAAUUUGUACACCCCGGAUGCGGUGUAAAAAUUGAUAUUUACAAAGGGAUUUUCUACAUUUUAACCUUCUUUAUUUUUAACACAUUAAAUCAGCUCUUUUUUUUUAAUUUAUUUUUCAUCAAAUAGGAAUUGAUAUAAUCUGUCAAAUGCAGUAGUACUAGGAGUUAUUGCAAAUUCAGGUGUGAAUUGAAGCAAUCAUCCAAUCUCAGGCUCUUCUCUGUUUCCAUCUCUGCAGCAGGACACAAUUGACAGCCUGCAUUUACUGCAUCAGGUUUUUGGUCAAGUUUAUGUUCUGUACCCCCAAAACAAUCUCCAAAAUAUAUUUGAAUUCCACAUUUUAUGAGCUGCAGAAUAAAACAUAAUCUGAGUGCUUAUUUGAUCUGAAGAAACUAUUAACUUCUAUGUAAGCAGAUAAUAGGAUAAUGUCAUCUAUAGUUGUCAAUGUUUAUAGAGUGCAAAGAGCGCUAGGCACACUUCUGAGUGUAGAAUCUGAACGGUAAAAAUUAUGUUAUUAAGAGAGAGGUUUAUGUAAAGUACGGAUCGCGAAGGUAUUAGUCGCUUCAACUCAAAUUAUGCUCCCAUCUAUUUCUGAGAAUGGACAAAGUAUUAUUGCACAAACAAUGUAUACUUCUGUAAGUAUUGCAAGCACAUAUAAAGGUCCCCUUUCCCCACCGCAGAAUAUAGUGUUGUAAGAUUUGUUGCUAUUGAAGUACUAGUAUUAAAGAAAACACUGAAUCAAGAUAUCCUCAACAACUUUCUUUUAUGACAGAAUCAAAAUAGCAAAAUGAUUCAGCUUUCGAAUCUCAUGUCGAUUUUCCUCUACACCGAAAGGCUUUAAAUUAUAAUUUUUUUUUAUCAGACACUCUACUAAAGACUACUAUUACUGAACAAAAUAUUGGCAGUAGAUGCAAAAGCAAACUCCUGGUAAAGUCCCUUUAAAUUUUCACUACCUUUAAUAUUUUUAUUAAUAUUAAAGGAUAAUAACCCCUGAACUUAACUUUAUAAAGUCUUAAAACACAGCAAAACUUAUUCUGGUGCUUGAAAAAGGUGUUUAGGGGGCCAAGCUGUAGAGUUCAAAGCCUAUUUGUACAGUUUUCCCUAGCAUUCAUGUGAGAUUUAUUAAAGUUCAAACAUCUUGAUUAACAAAUGAAGAAGCUUAGCAUUAGAGUCUUAUUAAAGUGGAGAGUUAAGAGUUAGGCACAAGCAAUUAAUUAAUUAAUAUAUUCUUUGCUUUUUCUCUCUAGUGUCUUGUGCUUGCUCCAAAAGUCAAAAAAUAGGCUCUAAAUUCAGAACCCAGAGAAGGUUCCAAUAACACACUCUCUCUCUCUCUCUCUCUCUCUCUUCUUCUUUUCUCUCUCUCUCUCUCUCUCUCUCUCUCUCUCAUAUUUAAUUUGAGCAUUGCACCACAACCCAUGCAUUUUGACUCUUAAUUCCAACCUUGACCAAAUACACACACUUUAUCUCCAGAAUUUAAUGCCUCCCAAAGUCCAAAGCAAAGAAACCCUGCAACAAAAAAUAAAAUAAAAUAAUUCCACUCUUGUUUUUUUUUUUAGGGUUUCUAAAAGAGCAAUGUAAGGAGACCCCUCAACUCUAUGUCAUUUUGAAAUAGGCCUAUUUAGAGAUGUUAUCAAAAUCAAAACCAAUAUUUUGUUGGCUAUUUUGCCAAUUCAGCAAAAUUAUCAUUGCAUUUUAAAACUUCAGUUAAUUUGAUAUAAACUCACUUAAACAAGAAUAUAUAGUUGAAAAUUAAAAAAGUCUUAAUAAAAAAAAGGGGGAUAAAAGUGCACCAAUUCUGUUAAAAAUCUUAUGACUACAUUCAAGAUCAGAUAGUAAAAUCAAAGUUCAGAUAUUUUACGGCGCACUGUAUUUUUACCAAAACUUUUUAAAAAAAUAGGGGGAAAUUCUAAAAUAGAAUAUAAGUGAGGGGGUCUCCACACAUUUUUACGUACUAGGGUUUAAUGCCCCCCAUCAUGCAUCUUCACCAAACACACUCUCUCACAAACAAAAUACAUGUACCAUAAAACCAAAAAGAAGCACCACCAAGUUGGAAUUUGGAGUUCUUAGAGUUAUGGGUCUUAUAAUAAGGAAUCAAAAGGAUCUUACUAGGUUUCUUAUCAUCAUCAUCAUCAUCAUCAUCAUGUUGGUGCUUCUACACCUGGAGACAUGCACCUGUCACAAUGCUAAGAAGAAGGGCUUUGAGAAAUUGGGAGGUGGGUUUUGUGGUUCUUCUACUAAGCUCAACAAUGGUGGGUUGAGGAGAGAACAAGGAGCAGAAGAAGAAGAAGAAGAUAACAAAGUUGGUGGAGUUGGUUUUGAUGAGGAGAAGAGAAGAGUCUACACUGGCCCUAAUCCACUUCACAACAGAUGAGAUUUGUUUCCUCUUUUCUUUUUUCUUUUUUUUGAUUUAUAAUUUUGAUCUUUCUUCUUUAGUGGUUAAUAUUUUAUAAGUUCUUAGAUUUGAUGUUGCUGGGCAUUGUAUAUUGGAUGCAUUUUAUGAUUCUUGCAUGUGGUUUAGUUAAGUAAGUUUACAUAUGUAAUUAAUUAACCCAUCUAAUUAAUUUAGAAGAAUUUUUUUAAAAAAAAAGAUAUGGAGAAAAUUAUCCAGCAAUAACUUAUGUGCUAUAUGAGAAUUUUUUCUUUUAAUAUUGUGAUUUGUAAGAUGGAAGUUUGGUUUUAGUUUUUUGAAAAAACCCUUUUUGGAUAUUUGAUCAUACUAAAAAAAAUUUUAAAAAAUUAUGAUUGUAAGAAAAAAUUGUAGGAAAAAAAAUAUAUAUAUAACAUCCACCGAAAUAUUCAAAAAAAAAAAUUGAUCACAAAGGUAAAUUAUAUCGAAUAGAACAAUCGAUAGAAAACAUUUUUUUUGUCAAAAAUCCGUCCCAUCAUGCCCCGUCAUGAACGGAGCAAUAAGUGAGGAAAAAAAUUAAGAUAAAAAUUAAUCCAUCCUGAAUCUGUCGCACAGAACGUUUGCAUUCCUAAAGCGAUAAAAUAUCCUCCGCCCUCCCUUUCUCUCUUUCUCAUUCUCUUUUCUUUCAAAAGGGGUCAUGAAGCACCCAAGAUUGUACUUGAAAGAUUGUUAGUAUAAAAUGAUUAAAUUAGGCCAAAAUAAAAAAAUGAAGCAAUUUGAGCAACAUGAAAGGAUGAGUAGUAACCCUAAGGGUGCGUUUGGUUCGAGUUAUCCUAGCAGGAUUACAGGCAAUCCUGCCAGGAUAAUUGUGUUUGGUUAAUCCGCUAUGUAAUCUAGUCGUUAAUGUAGCAUUACAAAUCGAGCAGGAUUACAUCGAAAAUAUUAACGGGAGGGGGGUCGUGUAUCUUGCAUUACUGAAACCCGUUAAUAAUACAUAUUAUGUAAAAUGACAAUUUUACCCUCCAACAACCCCAAAUCUAAUUAACAGCAUUAUUUUUAUCUCUCUCUCUCUCCUUCCUCCCUCUCUUUCGCACGCCGCUUUCUCUCGCUCUCUCUCUCUCUCUCUCUCUCUCUCUCUCUCUCUCUCUCUCUCUCUCUCGCACGAACACCUAUCAUCUUCUAUUGCGUCGUCCUCCCAAGUAAUCAUCACAAUCUCCUUCCCUCCGUUCGUCAUUUUCGCAAAAAAUAAUAUUCAAAUGACCACAACAAGGGCAAUUUUGAAAAAAAUUAUACUUUUAUGUCAGGAUUAUUAAAUUUUAUAAACUGAACCAAACGUAUUAAUGCUAUAAACACUGUAAUCUAGUAUUACAUUACUGUAUUAAACCAAACGCGCUAAUGCAGCAUCAGUAGUAAUCUCACGCCGAAAUCCAAGAUACCUGGAUAUGUCAGGAUUAUUAAAUUUUAUAAACUGAACCAAACGUAUUAAUGCUAUAAACACUGUAAUCUAGUAUUACAUUACUGUAUUAAACCAAACGCGCUAAUGCAGCAUCAGUAGUAAUCUCACGCCGAAAUCCAAGAUACCUGGAUAUGUUAAGAUACUUUGUAAUAUUACAUAACUCGAACCAAACGGGCCCUAAAGAAUACUUUUAAAAACUGCUAUCAAACUAUAUAAACGUACUGAACUACAAAUAUUCAAAAUAUUUAGUCACUAACUAUGCUCUAGGGGACAUUUUAAAAUAGCCAUAAUAACAUACAAAUUUACUGGUAUUGAAUGCGAUCUAACGCUAUUGGGCCAAAAGAGACCGGAGUCGAUGUACUUUUUGUCUUUCUGUAGAACUGUAAAAAUUAUCACUUAACUAGUACGAUCGACAUCACAUUAUCACUUAUGGAGAAAAAAUGAAAUAUUUUUGCAUUAUAACUUUUCAAAAUAGCAUUUAAUUCGACUAUCAAACUAUAUAAACGUACUGAAUUAUAAAUAUUCAAACUAUGUAGUUAUUAACUAUAAUUUAGGGGACAUUUUAAAAUAGCCAUAAUAAUGUCCAAUUUAAUUACUAAGUGCCGGUAUUGAAUGCGAUCUAACGCUAUUGGGUCAAAAGAGACCGGAGUCCAUGUACUUUUUGUUUUUUCUGUAGAACUGUAAAAAUUAUCACUUAACUUGUAGGAUCGACACCACAUUAUCACUUACGGAGAAAAAAGAGAAUAUAUUUGCAGGAAAUAUUUUUGUAUUGCAACUUCUCACAUCCUCAAUCUCAAAAGAGAAAAGUAACAUCCUAAUAAUUCCAUAUCGGAUAAAGAAAUAAGAGAUCACGAAUCCUAAUAAUAAUAACUGGACUUAAAUAUUUAUUGCCGGUUGUUUCGUCUCAGUAAGUUAAUAUUGCUAAAAGGUCGGAUCUUUAAAUUUGGUAUUAGAGACAGUUCACGAGCCAAAAGUGUGAGAUAGGUUUCACAUCACUUGUCCCAUAUCGGAUGAAAAUAUAAGAGAUUUAAUUACUUGUCUCCUAUCGGAUGAAAAUAUAAGAUAUUAUGGAGCUUAAUAAUAAUAAUAAUAAUUGGGAUUAAAUAUUUUGGAUAAAUGAUUUGGACCCAACGAUUAUUAUUAACAGCGGUCUAAUCGUUAAGAAACCUACUGCAAAAUUUUAGAUAAAAGUCCAUCAAAAAAUGUUGCCUGAUGAGCUAUUAAUGCAUAACCAUACACAACUUUUAAUUUAUUUUAUUUCAUUUUAUUUGCAGAGGAAAGAUACACAAUUGAAAAAUAUCAUCCAUAUAACUAUUUAUAAAUGUGUAAAAUUUAUACCUCAGCUAUUUUAGGGUUCAAAAAACUCUUUAAUUAGAUUUUUAGAUUUAAAAAAAAAUAAUAAUAAGACUAGUGCGGAAAUAAUUGCCUUUGGUUGAAUUUGGUCGGGGCUACAAGAUAAAAUUGAAUCAAAAUUGAUCUAUUUUAAUUUCAAAAAAAAUCAAAACCAAAACCACACCAAUGUUGUGGAAAAUCAAAUCGAGCCAAAUCACAAUUUUUUUUUUUUUGUUUCGAUUUGAUUUGUCGGUUAGAACAUUUAUAUUUUAAAAUUAAUUUAGUUUGUACAACCUAUCGGUUAAUUAUUUUUUUAUUUGAUUUAUCCAAUCGAUUUUUGGGAUUAACAUGGUUUAUCAAGUAGUAGCUUUGUGAUAAAUAAUUANUACUAAUAUUUAAAAUCUAACUGUUUAUUUUUUGAGGAUAUGAUUGACUUUUAAAUAUUAGUAACUAAUCAAAUACCAAAUUAAUAGUUUCCAAUACUUUGUUUCCUUAUUUAAUUUAGUUACUUACCAAAUUAGAUAGUAGCUAAUUUUACAAGUAACUAACCCCAAAAUUAAAAUUUAACUUGAAUUUUAAAUUUAUAUUUAUUAUAGUAUAAAUUAAAUUUUAAAUGAGUAACAAAUUUUAAAUUCAAAUUGUUAAUUCAAUAUUAAAGUAAUAUAAAGUUCAAAAAUAUUAAUCUAUUUUAAAUUCGAGUUUAAAUUACAUUGUACUUAUAAACCCAACUUUUAUUUUUUAUUUAAAUAAAAAGUUUCUAUUUCUGAAAAUAAAAUUUAAAUUAUUAAUUCAAUAUUGAGACAGCAUUAAAGCUCAAAAAUAUUAAUCUAAUUUAAAUUUUAAAUUUGGAUCUAAUUUGAAUCUCGAUGGCUCUAUUAGCUCUAUUAUUUUGACUUUUUAGAUUUGAAUUAUUCCUGUUAUAUUAGUUAAAUGUUAUUUAAUUUAAUAACUCCAUUGAUUGUCAGUUGUUCUAAUCCAUUUUUCUUAAAAUUAUUAAAUUUGAUAAAAAAAUAUAUAUAAAUUCAAUAAAAUCUCCUUUUUAACAGUACUCCUUUGUUUUAAAAAUUAAAAGUAAGGGCUCUUUCCAAACGAAUUUGAAAGUUGAGGGUGCUCUUUCUUAAUUCCUUAUAGUUGAAGGGGUCAUUGGAAAAUAGUAAUGCUUGACUCAAUCUCAUAAAUGGCAAAAGUCCAAAAUUACCCUCACGAAUAUAGCAUGAAGUGAAUUUUUUAAUGACCAAAAAACCCUUAAUAGAGGUAUCGGUUAACCGGUACCGGAGAACAAAUAGCCGGUCACUGGCUUUGCCUCACUGAAUCAUAACCGUUCACUGUAGUAAAUUAAUGGACAGGAUUAAAGUAGUGUAUAGGAAAUGGCUCUAUAAAUAUAAAAAAACUAUGUUAUACUUUUAUACAAAUGAACAUAAAUAAAUAUAAAACAAUAUACGCUUUUGGUUUCUUGGUUUGAGUUGGUUUUUUUUUUUUCAUCAAUACAAAACCAAAAUCAAAACCAAAAUAAAACUUCUGAUUUGAGAAGUUCUUGAAUCAAAACCAAACUAUUUACAGCUGAAUCUAAAACAAAUCAAAUCAAAAAUAUCAUUUCGAUCGUAGACUUAGCAUUUCUCUAACCGUACAACAUACUUAUCUAUUCUUUACAUGCACUAUAAGUUCAAUUAACAAUAAUUGGUUCUUAUCGACCGCCUCUAGAGCAAGUGGCAAAGGGAUUGGUGGUUGGUACCCGAGACCCAAGUUCGAAUCCUAAUUGAUUCAUAUUUUCAGCUAAGUUUAUUUCUAAAUGAAAUAAACGAAGCGGGUAGCGUGUACCUACCUAUCUCUCAAAAAAAAAUAAUGGGUCUCGGAUACCAACUACCAAGCCCUUUGCCACUUGGUUCUUUAGUUUUUAAUACAAUUUUAGAGAUGCAGAUGGAUCUAAGUCGACGGAUUUUCUUUCCCUAUCUGUUUUCGAAUGAGUCGGUAAGCGAGAGUGAAAAAUAAAGAAAAAUAUAUAUAAUUUGCUUCGAAUCUAUCCAAAUAUGCUAAAAAAAUGAAGCAAAAUGUUGGCUUAAAAAAAUCAGCAUAAUAUUAUGUAAUCAGAGAUCAGGGUGGGCCGAGUAAGGAUGUCAAUGGGUAUGGAUACCCGAAAUAUUAUCAGAAUUCGAACCCGAAUAGAACGGGUUUAUUUGAGCUAAACAGAUAUGAUUUGGUUAUGGGUAUAGAAAAUAAAAACCCGAAUAUGGAUACGAGUAUGGAUUUUAUAUUUACCCGACCCGACCCGAACCCGAAUCCGAACCCGAACCCGAAUCUGAACCCGAAUAUGAAUAAAUUAUAUAUAUGUAAACUUUAUACAAUAUAUAAAAUAUUUAAUAAUUUUUAUCCAUUAGAUAUUCAUCCAACGGUAUACAAUAGACACUUUAUCUUUCAAAAUCCAGAUAUUGAUAUUGUAUGGCAUGUUUAAUGUUGUAUUUGAUUGUAUUUUGAAAAUUUUAAUUUUACUAUAAUAUAUUUUAAAAUAUGGUAAAGAGAAACCAUUAUUUCGGGUUCGGAUUUUUGGGUUCGGUUUUGGGUUUCGAAUUUUUGGUCAAGAUCGGAUAUGGAUAUGGAUUUUUAAAACCCGCCGGGUUUGGACCCGGGUUCGUGUUUCAAUUUGGUUUUCGGGUUCGGGUUUGGGUUUUUGAAAACUCGACCCGUUGACAUCCCUAAGGCCGAGUCACAUUCGAAAUGACAGAAGGUCGGGGUUGAGCCGAGAUAUGUUCAAAGUGAUGAAAGCCUAGAUGGAACGAGUCACAAUCAAAACUCAUGGGCACUAUAACUUUACGCUUAAGUGAAAUAGUUGCAUUCUUUUAAUAGCUUAAAUUCUUGGGAUUAAUGGUUAGCCCCAGGAAUCCGACAAGUGGUAUCAAAAAAUAAAGGUCACGAGUUCAAUUUUUGCAUGCUGUGAAUUUGAUUUUUACGUGCUGUGAAUUUGUGGAAAUUAUUAGCUUAGCUUAAAGGAGUCGGCAUCCUAUUCUAUUGCAUUUCGGAAUGGGAAGAGCCCUUUUUUCUCUUGGUACACACAAAUUUGCCCACAAUUUUUCAAAAAUCAGCUCUUGUCACGACCCGCUUUGAAAUGUAGCAGUAAUUAGGGACAAAAAUAGAAAAAUUACAACUUGUUCUGAUCACUGGAUCUUCUUUUUUUUUUUCUUUUUUUUUUUUUAACAUCCUUUGAUACAACAUGUUGUAGGGUUUUCCAACUAAAUAGAUCUACGAAUAGGUCCACUCCAAUUUUAAAUGGCACAUGUGCCUCAUAAAUCUAUUUAAUCAUAAAAUUAGCUAGUUGGACGAUAAUAUCAUCUUUAUGAUCUAUCACUAUAAGCCUAUCAACUAUCUUUAGUGGCCGUUCGGUUUAGGGAUGUCAAUGAGUAUGGAUAUCCGAAAUUUUAUCCAAACCCGAACCCGAAUGAAACGGAUAUAUCCGAUGGGUAUGGAUAUGGAUUUGGAUAUGGAUAUAAAAAAUAAAAACCUGACGGAUAUGGAUUCAGAGAUGGAUUUUGAUUGUACCCGAUCCGAACCCGAACCCGAAUUUAUUUUGUAUUAUAUAUAAUAUAUAUGUAAAAAUUUGAUGUUAUAUUUGAAUUUGUAUUUUAAAAAUUUAAAUUUAAUAUAAUAUAUUUUGAAAUAUUGAAAAAAAAAUAAUUGUUUCAGGUUCAAAUUUUCGGGUUCGGGUUUGGGUUCGGGUUUCGGAUUUUUGGUCGGGUUCGGAUUUGGAUAUGGAUUUUUAAAAUCCGUCGGGUUCGGGUUCGGGUUCGGGUCUCGGGUUUGGAGUCGGGUUUGGGUUCGGGUUUUUAAAAAUCCGCUCCGAAUCCGAUCCGUUGACAUCUCUAGUUCGGUUCAUGCUAUAUAACAGCACUAGUUAUUUCAGCAUAAUUAGAUUUCAGGCUGUUUGGUUCGUGCUAUAUGAUAGUACUAGUUAUUUCAGCAUAAUUAGAUAUUUGAAAUCUGUGAAGCAGAUUAAUACAAAUGUUGAAUAACUAUAUUUGGUUUAGUGCAGUAAUAUAAUGUCGGAUUGUCAUAAAAUUACUCUGUUUCGUUCAUCUUAUAUGUAUUAGUAAUCUUGACUGUAAAGUUUAUAUAAUUCCAAAAAAAAUCCUUACAUACAUAUUUAUUUGAAAUUCAAAUAUAUAAUUUUGAAAUAAAUUUAAAUUCAAAUUUUAAAUUUAAAUUAAAUAUUGGUUCAAAUUUUCAAUUGAAAUCAUGAUUUUAAGUCUAAAUUUUAAAAUAAAAUUUUAUUUUUGAGUUCAAAUUUCAAAGUCAAAUUUAAGAAUUGAACUUAAAUUUUAAAUUUAAGUUCAGAUUUUAAAUUUAAAUUUGAAAAUCAAACUUAGAUUUUUUUAAUUUGAAGUUCAAAUUUAAAUUUUGAUUUUAAAUUCAAACUUCAUAUUCAAAGUCUGAUUUUGGUUUCAAAUUUAAAUAUAAAUUUAGUUUUUGAAUUCAAAUUUUGAUUUCAAAUUCAAAUUUAAAUUUUGAAUAGUCAAAAUUUUAAAGUAAAUUUCAUUCAAGUUUUAAAUUUAGAUUUAGAAUUUAAACUCAGACUUCAGUUUGAGUUCAGAUUUUAAUCCAACUCUUAGUUUCAAAUUUAGAUUUGGAGUUCAAAUUUUUAAUGUGAAUCAGAAUUUUAAUUCAAAUUUAGAAUUUGAACUCAUAUUUCAAGUUAAAUUAAAAUAAAAUUUACAUUCAAAUUCAAAUUCAUAUUUGAAUACAAAAUUCAAAUUUAAAUUUAAAUUUCAAAUUCAAACUUAAGUAAUUCAACUAAUGUGAAAUUUUGAACUUUAUUUCAAAUUUAAAUUUGAGGCAAGUAGCGGUGGAGAAGGAUAACUUUUAAAUUUUGCAUAAGUUGCAGCAUAACAUGUAAUCAGUAAUGCAAGAUACCCAUCUUUUUAUUGUUUUACUAGUAAUAUUUUACGGUACCUUACAAACUAAUAUACAUGACAUUGUUUAAUUGGUGGAAAUGUGCGAACCAUGAAAUGGUUUUUUGAAAGUAUGGUAGAUAAUUUUAAUAUUGAAAUCCAUCAAUUGAGUUGUAUGGUUUGUAAAAUAUUAUAAAUUUGCUUGUAAACAAAGUAUUUUUCAAUUUUUAAAGAUCCCUGUAGGAUUCUCUGUAAUAUAAUAUAAACUUGGCCUUCUUUUGCACCAUGUGUUGUUUUCUUCUUCUUUUUUUUUGAUAAAAAUUUUCUGCGAUAGUGUACGCUCAGAGAUCCAACAGAUUGCUUGUAAUCUAUACAUUACUUCGGAUUUAUUUGUUGAGAAACUAUGAAAACUUAGUAACAACUUUUUUUUCUUUUAAACUAAAUUUUGAAUUGGUAUUUACCAAGAAUAAGAUUUUGUUUUGUUUUUUUUUUUAUUUUUUUAUUUGUUUGUUUGGUUGUUUACUUGUUUUUGGUUGUUGUUGUUGGUGUUUGUGCUGGAACUUGGAGUGGGUCUCCCAAGAUGAAGCAAAAAAGUUUUUAUUUUUGUUUAUUUAUUUAUUUUAUGGUUUCUGAGGACUAUGAAAAAGCCUAUGGCUAUAUGCUAUGGCUAUAUGAAUGCAUUACACUUGGCUUUUGUGAAUGGCCUUAUCUAUGUAAAAGCUCACACAUUGUCCAAGGUGAUCAUCCCAUGUAUAUGCAUUUGAUUGCUUUAAUUUCCCUUUCAUUUUUGCUUUUUGUAAAAGAGUGCUGCUAUAAGAUUACCCUACAAUAUUAUUAAUAAUAUGAUAAUAUAUUAUUAUAUUUAUAAUAAUAAUAUUGUAAAUAAUUCAUCAUUCAUAUAAAUUGAAAAAAAAAAAAAACAACAACAAGAUUAAACGAAGCCUAAGAUUUUAUAUAUUAUAUAUAUCUCAAAAUUGAUAACUUGAAUAGCUGACGUGGUGAUAUAUUUGUAAGUUUACCAAUUUAAAAGAAUGAAUUUAUAUUCAAUAAAAUUUUUAUAGAAAAUUUCGUUCACUAUUUAAUGAAAGAUCAAUAUCUUUGAUCUGAAAUUUAAAUCUUUUAUUAUUAUUUUUUAAAAUUUUUAUUUUUAGCCUUUUAUGUUGAAACUAUUCGGUUUAAGGGUAAAUAAUAUAAACAAAUUAUAAAAAUUGGUUUCAAUAUAGUUUUAGUAGUGUAGCUCAUAUUUAAUUGAGUCAAUCAUCGAUUCGAAUAUCUCAUCAUCGAAAACAACAUAAUAGCAAUGAGGCCUCCGUACUACUGAUAGUAUUCUAGCCUAAUUCAAAUAUAUACAAAGAGAGAGAGAAAGAGAGAGUUGUAGAGAAUGCUUAUAAUAAUACCAACUUAUUAAUGCUUUUUAGUUUUUGGCCCUUGGAUUAAGGGGUCGUUGGAUUACCAUGAUAGUGGUCCAGUUAAGUUUAGAAGUAGUGAAAUAAUAUAAUUUAAGAAAUAUAAAUGACAAAAGAGUAUGUACACAGUAGUUACGGAUUUUUGAUAUCACAACAGCUUCAUGUGUGAGUUGCUACUUUCCAUGAAAUUUGAUUUCUAGAUAUUUUCAAUAUUCUGGAUCAAGCUUAAUGAUGUCGAUCAUCGAUUCGAAAACUUCAUCAUCGAAAAUAAAUUUGUAACAACAGAGCGCAUUUACGACUAAUAGUAUUCAAGCUCAACUCUCUUCUCUCCUUCUCUCUCUCUAUAUAUAUAUAGAAAGAGAGAGAGUAGGGCUACUAUACUCUUAUGAGUAUAGAGCUCUUCGUGUUCAUAAGUUGUUUUCGAUAAUUGAACUUCCGAAUCGACGAUCCACUUCGUUAAAUGUGUUCUAAAGUAUUUGAAACUUUCAGAAAAUAAAUUUCGUAAUUUUUUUUGAAAUCAUAAUAAAAUCCAUUAAGUGGGCAUAAAAUGAACAGUCAAAAUCGAAUAACAUCCUAAAAAUCGAUAAUUGGAUCCUUCAAUUUAAGAUCAGAGUUAUUGAUCUUUAUUUAGAUAGUGAAUAGAAUUUUCGAUAAAAAAUUUAACUAAUUCUGAGUCUUUUACACCGUUAAACUAGCAAGUAUUCCAUACCAACUGUUAAAAAUUAUCAAUUUUGAGAUUUUUUAAUCAAAAGGUAAAUGAUGUCAAAAAUUAUAAAAUUUAAUUUUUUAAAAGUUUUAAAUGCUCUAAAUAACGUUUAACGGUAUGGAUCGUCAAUUUGGAAGUUUUAUUAUUAAAAACAACUUAUGAGUAAGAAGGCGAUCGUACUCAUAAGAGUAUAGUAGCCGGACUCUCUCUCUCUCUCUUUCACUUUCUCUCUUUAUAUAUAUAUAUAUAUAUAUAUANAGGUACUAAAAUAAAAAAGUGUGAAACCACGGGGUUUUUUUGAAGUUUUCCCUAAUAAUAAUAAUGAUUCAGGGGUAAAAAUGUAAUUACACUUCAGUUAGCCGGAAUCGUAUUCCUACGUUCUCCACGCAGAGGUUAACAAGGAAACCUCCCCAACAGGUCACGUAUCAAAGCACAACUUAGCCUCUUAAAAAGGAAGAAACUAUUCACUGCACCGGGUGUAUAAGCACAUCUCAUACGCCACACCUAAUAAAUUUUAUGAGGAAAAUGUGUUUUAUGUAUAAAAAAAUUUAUAAAUUUUAGACACGAAUACUUCCUAAAUUGGAUAAUGUCCCAUUAUAAACUUAGCUUUAUAAAUAUUAUAUGGUAAAUUAUAUAACAUCUAUCAAAUUAAAUUUUAAUUUAAGGUGUAAAUUAUUAAAAUCUAUGUAUUAUGACGCGGUUACAUGUCGCGCAUGUCCGUGUCGGACACAUCUUUGUUCGUGCUAGACUCGUAUUUGACGCAAACCCACCAUGGAUGUGCGUUCAUGGCGCAUUCCUAUGAAAUUUUUUUAUUUCACUUUUUUUAUGCAUAUAUAUAUAUAUAUAUAUAUAUAUAUAUAUAUAUAUAUAUUAGGGCUAUUAUACUCUUAUGAGUAUACACCUUUUUGUACUUAUAAGUUUUUGACAAUUGGAUGAAGAGAUGUGCAGUUAGGAUGAUAGAGGUCCCCGAUUAGAAUGAUAGUGGUCCCCUAGAGUUAAGUGGGUGGUAAGUUGAAUAGUAUGAUCUAAUGGGUGAAAAUGGUCAAAGGGAUAGAUUUAACAGUCGAAAAUUUAUGAGUGCAUAGAGAUCUAUGCUUAUAAGAAUAUAUAGUCAAACUCUCUCUCCCUCUCUCUCUCUAUAUAUAUAUAUAUACAUAUAUUAGGAGUAGGACUAUUGUGCUAUUAGGAGUAUAGUAGUCCUUACGCUCCUACCUUUCUAACCAUCUAUCAAUUUCGAUGGAUGGUUAGGAUGAGAGAGAGAAAAAAAAUUCGGGUGCAGUUGAGUGUCUUAUUUUUUCUCAUCUUUGAAUUUGUAUCCAUUUUUUCUUCUCUCUCUCAUCUUAACCACCAAUCAAAAUUGAUGUAUGAUUAGAAAGUUAAGAGCACAAGAAUUACCCGUGAUCCUAAUAGCACAAUAGCCCUACUCUAUAUAUUAGUUAUGGCAUUGCAUUUAGCUUCAAGCAUGAGUAGCUGCACCACAUUCUCUCUCUCUCUCUCUCUCUCCCUCUCUAUUUUUGUUCAAAUUCCAUGUUCCCUCUUUUUGUUUGUAGCUAAACACAUCCAACUACGCAAAAUUCUUCAGUAGAUCCAAAUGAAGAGUACCUGCCAAAUUAUUUGAUAUAUACUAAAGCAGGACAUAUGGAUUAUCUAAAAAGAUCACUUUUUCCUUUUAUUUUUCUUUCUCUUUGUACAGGAGAUUCUACACUGAAUCUCUGGGAUCAUUCCACAUGGGGAACAACUAUUCAUAUUUAGUGGGUAACCCAACAAUGCCAUUUUGAAUCAUAAAUUAAAAGGGAGAGAGAAAAAAAUUCCAAAAAAAAGAAAAAUCCAACAGUACCAUCCAAUUUCAGAGUUCAACAGCUUUGCUGUGCUGUGGCCUCUGGGGUGAUACAGAACCUUCAUUUAAAAAAAGUGAAGCUACCUGGUGCUCAUUACAUGGUUCCAACUACUUAGAUUUAUCACAUAUAAUUUUUUAUUUAUUUUUUUUUAGAAAAAAAAUAGCGUGUUAUUUACUUUAUCCAAUAAGGUAUUGUUUGGUUUGAGCAUAAGCAAAAAAUGAUUAUUCCAGAGAUAGAUAUAAAUUGAGGUAUAAGCGGGGAUUAGAUCAAUUUUACGUUUGGAUGAAAAUUGGGCUAUUCCUGAGAAUAAAAAAAAUAGCGUUUGGUUAGUUAAGAUGGAAUAAGAAAGAUAGUGGGUUUUAUAAAUAAAAAAUAAUCAUAUUAUCCUCUUAUUAUAUUUGAAUUUAAAUUUUUAAAUUUUUAAAUAUAUAUUUUUAAAUUUAAAAUUUUAACUUUGAAAUUUCAAAUUUUGAAAUUUAAAAUCUCAAAUUUUAAAUUCAAAAUUUUAAUUUAAAUUUCAAACUUUAAAUUUAAGAUCAAAUUUAAAUUUGAAAAUAUAAAAUAUAAAAUUUAAUUUCAAAAUUAAAAUACAAAAUUUAAAUUUAAAAUUAAAUUUAAAAUUAUAAACUUUAUUUUGAGAUUAUAAAUUAUAAAUUUUAAAUUUAAUUUUAAUUUUUAAAUUUUUAAAAUAAGAAUAGGGUGGAACAAUAUAAUACAAUAAACAUUUAUUAUACAAUCAUUUAUAAAUUUUUUUAAAAUUCUACUUAAACUUAAAUUUAAUAAAAAGAAUUUAUUAUAAUAUUUAAAUAUAAUUUAUUAUAAAUUUUAUUUUAAUAUUUAAAUAUUAAUAAUAUGUAUUAAUAUAGUACAAUUAAUAAUUUUAUAAUAAAAAUAAUGUAUUUUAAUAUUUAACAUAUUAUAUUUAUAUAAUUUAGUUUUAAUUCAAUUUAUAAUUUUAAUUAAGUUUGAAAUUAAGCAUUGAAAUAGUGCUAUUCCAUCAAAAUGGUGGAAUAGCAAAUCCCUUGCUAUUCCAGGAUAACCGGGAAUAGCAAGGUUUGACCGGAAUAAAAUAUUCCGGCCAAAUUUCACCCCGUUUGGCGGAAUAGCGGAGAUAACUUUCGUUAUCCCCGCUUAUUUUCCCAAUCAAACGGGGCCUAAGAGUAUAAACUAGGCUACAAUAUUGAGACAACGGGGAUAAGAAAAAAAAUAAAGUAUAAAAAUAAAGGAAAUGUAUAGUACUCACUGUACUCCUACUGUAAGUAAGGUGUACUAUUAUUUGAUAAAAUAUUUUUGAAAUAAUACUAUUUAAGUAAAUGUAAUAUCAAAUCAUCUAUGACAAUAUUUUUCUGCUGGGGUCAAGAAAAACACAAAAUUAAAAGCUUUGUUUUGUUUGAAGUCUCAAAAUGUACGCUUCUGCAGAUAGCGUCGUAUUUUUCUCGUUGUCGAUACUCUUAUUACAUGUUUGGCCCUCAUUGAUAGAACUAUUGGCAAGCAAAAAAAACAUGUAGCUUCCGAUGUGACGAAAAGUUAAAAUGAGAUUGUGAGUCAUAAAAAGAGAAGAUGUAAUUUAGAAGUCAUGAUUCUGCAACAAAGGGAAAAAAGAAAACUAUAAAAAGAGUUUUGAUGCAAUGCAAUCUCUCAAGGGGUGUUGGUUUUCCGUAAAAUAUCUAAGAAAACAGUUUUCUCGUGGGAAAAAGUAUUUUUCUAAAGAACAGUUUUUUUCUAGAAGAUGAAAACGGUAAAAAUUAUUAUUAUUAUUAUUUUUACUGGAAACUUCUUUUUUUUUUUGAAAUAAUUUUUCAGGUAUCUCCUAGAAACCAAACAAACACCCCUUAAUAGUUAAUAUAUAGAGCUUUAACUUACUGAUAAAAUGCUUCAAUAGUAAACAGUACUGCACACAGCUAACAAAGGGAAUGGAAUGUGUGGGCAUGCAUGCAUUGUGGGAAUAUUAAUACAUGAGAGGAGUGCUGCUCCCCACAAGCAGUGGCUAUCAUUGAGACACUGUGCAUUGGCCCCUGUAUAAGCAAUAGGAGUGGUUAUGCAUUAUUAACUCACAUCAUAUGCCAUACUUUUGAUAGGGACAAAGGAACCACUCACUUAUAUAUAUGCAUUAUUGGGAGCAGUACAAAGAAUUUGCAAGCAUUUGGGGGGCCUGUAAUUUUGAGGGAAACCACUCUAUGCAAAUCUAAAAAAAAAAAAAAAAUUAAGAUUUUUUUUUUUUUUUUUUUUUAAGAUAGAGAGAAAGGUAGUAUGUUUGGUGAAAACUAAGAUUGUUUUCAGUAGAUGCUUGGUACAAUUUAGCCAAAUUAUUAGGAUCUUAUUGGUAAGGCACUUGGUGGGAUUUGAGAGAUUUCUUUGGUUCGAAUCCUAAUUUGAUCUUGGAUUACCGAGGUAUCAUCCAUAACUAUUUAGCCACUUGGGCUAGAGCUUGGUAGUAAUUUCAAAAUAGGAGCGUAAUUGUGUAGAUAUCAAGUUUUCUGCACUUAAAAAAGAAAGUUGCACACCAACCGUCCCUAGAGCAAGUUGUAAAGAACUUGGUAUCCGAGGUUUCAAGUUCGAACCAUAAUUGAUUCACAUUUCCAGCUAAGUUUAUUUUUAAAUGAAAAAAACGAAGCAGAUAGCGUACUACAGAGCUCUCUCAAAAAAAGAAAAAGAAAAAAGAAAGUUGCACAAUUUCGGCGAGUAAAUGAGCAAUGAAUGUCAAAUUUUCAAUAUGGGCAAAAAUUUGCAGUGAGAUGUGGAUGGCGAAUUAGAAAUUACUGUAUCAAUCUACUUAUUUGUAAACCUUGUAACAUGAGAAUAUCUGUUCAAGAUUUUUUUUUUUUGGGUUUAUUACAGAGUUGUUUGGAUUGUUUUGUAGAAAUACUAAAUACAACAAAACAAUCCUAAUCAUCUUAACUUUUUCUCUGUUUUUUUUGCAAUUUUGCAGUAAAAUGAGAGCAAAAACAUCUUAACAACUCUCUCCCCCUAACUCCCUCUAAAAAUGGAAUGUUUUUUUUUUGGUAAAAUGAAGGAUAAUCCAGAGCAAUUCAAACACCCUUAAUUGUGCACAAACUCAAUUCAAAAAUAAUAGGUGCCACAACUAUUUUUGGUUUUCAAUUUUUUUUAUUUUGAACUUGGUUGAAGAUAAUAGAUAAAAAUGCCACUCAUCGAAGCAAAUUUACCCUCCAAUUACAGUAAAAUUUAAAUUCUUCAAUGAUGACAUGUGAGACAUAAUGCUCUGUGAUAAAAUAUACAGAUAAUAUUUUUUAAUUUUAUAGUUGAUAGUGAAAGCCAAGAAGACAAAGUGACAAACACAACAUGUUAAGUGAGCCAUCAUCAUCAUCAUCAUCAUCAUCAUCAUUCUAUGCCAAAUUCCCCGCCAUUGAAGAUCUUUGUUUCAUCUUCCCUAAUUGACACAAAAACAAAUCAUCAACUAGUCAUAUAACACUCUUAUUCCUCCUCCCCUUUCCCCAAUAAAGAAGAGCAUAAGCAUAAAGCAAACAAAAGAGGCUCCUCUCUCUCUCUCUCUCUGUCUCUCUCUUCUCUCUCUACCUGGCAUCUUCCACUGUGUCAUGUGAGAUUGUGAAAAGCCAUUUUGCAUUACAAUCUCUCUCUCUCUCUCUCUCUCUCUCUCUCCCCUUGUGUUGUGGGGAGCCAUUUCCCAACUACUCUCUCUCACUCUCUUUGGCAUCUUCCACUUUGUGUUGUGAGGAGCCAAUUCCCAUUAGAAACUCUCUCUCUCUCUCUCUCUCUCUCUCUCUCAUUUGUAUUCUACUCAAAUCACUAUAUUCAUAUAUUCACCAUCCCCUUUCAUUCUCCUCUCUUAUUGGUAUAUCAUCUCCUUCUUUGGAAAUUUCCUCUCUUUUUCUCACUACAUUCCUCAAAGUUGGGUUUUUUUUUUUUUUUUUUUUUUAACUCUGAAAGGGUCCUCUUCCUCACCACAAGUUCAAUCAAAAUCCAAUUUUUAAUCUUGGGGUUUCUGUUUCUGCUUGUUCUUGAUGCUUCUCCCUCUUCAAUUUCUCAAAAUUUUCCACAAAUUUAGUUUACUUUUUACUCUUUGAUCUUGGUUUCUUCCACUUCCUCUGUGGAAUUGGGGCUUCCAUGGGACUCUGCCAUGGGAAACCGACUCAAAGCCCUAAGUUGGAGGGGAAGGAGGAGGAGGAUGAAGGAGACGAGUACGAGGAAGAAGAAGAAGAAGAGGAGGAGCGAAACCCUAAAAUCCCCGACCCCGACGCGCCGCCCCGCUCGAAGCCCUCGAUCCCCUUCUACAUCCCGAGCCCCCUCCCGGGCUCCUACAAGAGCUCCCCGGCGAAUCCGAGCGCCACUUCAACCCCUUUGCGAUUCUUAAAGCGCCCGUUCCCCCCGCCCUCCCCCGCGAAGCACAUUAGGGCGCUCCUCGCGCGGCGGCGCGGCGCCGUGAAGCCCAACGCCGCGGCGCCGGCGCCGGCGCCGGCGUCGGCUAUUCCCGAGGGGGAAGAAGCGGGGCUAGGGUUGGACAAGUGCUUCGGCUUCUCGAGGCAGCUCUUCGCCAUGUACGAGCUCGGGGAGGAGGUGGGGCGGGGCCAUUUCGGGUAUACCUGCGCCGCGAAGCCGAAGAAGAAGGGGGAGUUGCAGGUGGAGGAGGUGGCCAUUAAGGUUAUCCCAAAAGCAAAGGUAGUUCCUUUUUUCUCUUUUUCUUCUCCUUUUUUUUUUCGUAUUACAUACAGUGAGAAAAUCUGAUGAGAAAAGUACUUUAUUUGAUUUCGUACGCAAUGUUACGUUCCCACGUAGCAGUUACUUUGGUGAGAAACACACUAGAAAUAAAGGAAAAGAUAUUGAAUAAUAUCUGAAUGUUUGUAAGGUAUUAGAAGUUUAGUGAGAUGUAUAGAUUAACUUAAAGCUGGAUUAUAAAAGGAUAUCCCAGUAUUUAACCCUUUUUUUACAGAUGUGCAUUUAGAAGUGCUUUUCUUUGUUUGGUUUUAUGAUCAUGAAAAUGCACCAACUUUUUUCGAGUUGUAAUUUGACCAAAAGCCCAGCAACUAAGAAUGCAUAUCAAGUUGACCCACAAAGCUUCUUUAGAACAAAUCAGGCUCAGCAAUAUUUGGUUUGUUCCUAAUUGUAGGAUAAGAUUAAAAGUGCUUCAUUUUUUGGGUGAAAACAAUAAAGUGCACCAACUCUUUUUUUGAAUUUUAACUUGGCCAAAAAUUUUCCAUUUCAAGUUGAUCCAUAAAGCUUGCUAAUAUUUGGUGUUUAAGUGAUGUUGGACUCAUUCACAUUAAAUCCAACAAUCCCAAUCAGUCAUUUUUCUUGUUAUAUCAUGUUCUUAGUAAUAUAAUGGUGAAGCUUAUUACUAUUCUUUGAAGGUAUUUAUCUGAAUAUGUGACAUGGUGUCCGACUAUGGCUAAUUAAUUAUUUACAAUUCACAAGCUUUCUAACAUAUAUUGCUCUGCGACAAGUAUUGAUACCUUCUGCAGAUAUAUUGUUUUUUUCCUUUUAUCUUCUUUCUGUAAAGCAUGUUUUGCAAAUUUGUUUUUGACUGCACUACCAUGUUAACUUUUGUUUGCUUUAUCUGAGUGUUCAUUGAUUAAAAAUCCUGUAGAGCUGGAGCAAUGUCCGAUAAAUGGACAAGUGAUAAUCAAUACCUGGCAUUUAGUACUACUAUUUGUUUUCUACCUAUAACAUAAUACUGUAGUGUAAAAUCUGCUGUGUAGUACUUUGUCCUUUCUCAAUCAUUAAAUGAUGCCACUUAUAAUAGUUUGCCUCAGUUGGUUCUUUGAGGAUGGGAUCUAUAUAGAUUUUUUUUUCCCCUCUUAAAUAAUUUCUCUGUUUUUUCCAUGAAGAACUUAUUUAAACUUUGCUUAGAAUGGAAUAAUAAGCCUGAUCUGUUACUUUCUUGUAAUGAAAAACAAUUAAAAUGCUAAUAUUUACUGGAUUGGCGACCUUUUUCUUGUUUUCACUGUUGGUUUAGUAUGUUGUGUAAAAUAACACUUUUGAGUGUUUUGUUAUGAUAUUUUGAAUUUCAUAUUUGGGGAGCUGAAAAUGGUCGUAGGUGAAGAACUAAGCAUAAAAUAAAUACAUAUGCAUAUCUCGCAUGGUCUAAUGUGGUAAGCACUUUGGCAGAUGACAACAGUUAUUGCUAUUGAAGAUGUUAGACGAGAAGUGAGGAUAUUGAGCUCUCUGACGGGACAUCAGAAUCUAGUGCGAUUCUAUGAUGCUUAUGAGGAUGAAGAGAAUGUUUAUGUAGUCAUGGAGUAAGUCCUCAUUGCAUUUUCUUGUUCUCUCCCUAUUGAACGAUAUUGUUGAUUUAUCUCAUGUUCAAAAUUUAAACAUAAUGAACUGGCAUCUGUGUUGUAGCACAGAGGCAGUAUCCAAAUUUGGAGUCUGCUAUAUUGAAACUUUUGGGAUGAGAAAUACUAACUGAAAAAUGGAAAAAAAAUUCGAAAAAGUGGUUACUUAAAACUUAUUUUGGAAUUUGUGACUCCCUUGCCUACAUGGUAGGAAUGAGAUGCGGCCAUUUCAGCCCAUUUAGGUUGUUGAACAGCCCAAGUAUGGCUUAACUUUCUACCAGCUGAAUAAAAAGCGAACCGAUAUCCAUUUCAACCUUGUUUAGGCUGUUGAAUACCCCGAGGUUCGACUUGACUGUUGAACAGCCGAGGGCGCCAUGAACACACACCUUUCCCUGUCCCGCACUUGCUUUGAAUGUACUGUUUAGGCUGUUUAUAUUACCUUUCUUUGAUCUAGCGCUUCAUAAUCUUGCAAGUAUUAUUUGUAGCUUAUAAUUGUAAUUUUGUGCUCUUCAGAUUAUGCAAGGGAGGUGAAUUAUUGGACAGGAUAUUAUCAAGGUAUCUUUAAAUUCAUGAUAUAUACAUAAGUUACAUUUCCAGUUUCUGUUCAAGUUACCUACUUGUUUGUUUAAGUUUGAGGUUUGAGGUUCGAGGGUCGAACCAUGUGAUUAGCAAUUACAUACACGAUUGGCAGGGGCGGGAAGUAUUCUGAGGAAGAUGCAAAGGUUGUUAUGGCUCAGAUUUUGAGUGUCGUAGCCUUCUGUCAUCUUCAUGGUGUUGUCCAUCGAGACCUUAAGCCAGAGGUAGUAGAAGUUUGUUUAAUCCACUUGAGAUUUUUUCCUUUUUCCAAUAUCUGAUUAAAGUUUUGGAAUGUCAUUUAUGACUCUAUUAAUAAAUAAUAAUAUGUGCUUGUAACUUUGUGUUUCAGAAUUUUCUUUUCACUUCAAAGGAUGAGACCUCUACCUUGAAAGCCAUUGAUUUUGGCUUGUCCGAUUUUGUAAAGCCAGGUCUGUUUAAUGUAAUCUUGAUUGCGACCUUGUUUUUAGUUGUUUCAAAUAUUUAUUUGGUGAGAUAUUUACACAUAUACCUCCUUAAAAUAUCAUCUCUGUACUUAUAUGUAUCCUUUCAAAAUCUAAAUUUUUAUAUAUGCCCUUUGGAAACUUAAUUUUCUUUGACAUGUAUGCUUUAACUUACAGAAAUUCCCUUCUAAGCACCUUUUUUAAAACAAAGAUAACUUCUUCCCAUGAAUCCGUGACUACGAAAUGUGCAGAUGAAAGGUUAAAUGACAUCGUGGGAAGUGCAUAUUACGUCGCUCCUGAAGUUCUCCAUAGAUCUUAUGGAACCGAGGCGGACAUGUGGAGUAUUGGAGUAAUAGCAUAUAUUUUACUUUGUGGAAGUCGUCCUUUCUGGGCCCGCACGGAGUCGGGCAUAUUUCGAGCAGUCCUAAAGGCGGAACCGAGCUUCGAAGAAGCUCCGUGGCCUUCUCUCUCCGCCGAGGCUAAAGACUUUGUCAAGAGGCUUCUUAAUAAGGAUUACCGCAAGAGAAUGACUGCUUCGCAGGCUCUAAGUAUGUUCCUUGUUAUAUUGCUGUUGUUCAAUUCUUGUGUAGUUAAAAUUUGCUUUUCGUUAAAGCGUAAAUUCCAUUUUCUAAAUUUAGGUCAUCCUUGGAUUCGGAAUUCGCGAGAAGUGAAGAUUCCUUUGGACAUCAUAGUCUAUAGGAUGAUGAGAGCUUAUAUAUGUUCAUCUUCUCUAAGGAAAGCAGCUUUGCGGGUACAAUGAUUUUCCUUCUUCCUAUAAAUAUCUAAGUUAUUUAUCCCCCUGUAGCCCUGCUGGAUAAUUUAGUCCUCUUAUUUGUUCGUACUUACCAUAUUGUAUGUAAUGCAAUGAUUCUGUGCACUUUGUAGUAAGCUUGAUUCUCUUUUUAUCUUUUUUGUGAAUGUUAAGAUGCAGAAAAUGAUUCUCUUUUUAUCUUUUUUGUGAAUGUUAAGACGCAGAAAACUCGGCAUACAACAAAUCAACUGGAAUUUGGAUUGAUAGUUUUCAUUUUGCAGGCCCUUGCCAAAACUUUAACAGUGUCUCAGCUGUCAUAUUUGCGAGAUCAAUUUGGAUUACUGGGGCCGAACAAGAGUGGCUUUAUCUCUAUACAGAAUUUGAAGACGGUUAGUAAUUUCCUGCCAUCAUAUAUGCAUGUGUGCGAGAAAUGUAUAUUUAUUUGUGUGUUCACCUGAGUCAACCUCCGACAGGCUUUCUUGAAAAGCUCGACCGAGACGAUGAAGGAUUCAGGGGUUCUUGAUUUUGUUAACAUGGUAUGUCUCCGCAUCCUAGUACACAAUUGUUACUUCUUAAUCUGAUUGCUCUGAAACAAACUUUCCAAGAAGAUAAUUCGCUCCGAUGACGGUUUUGUAGGUGAGUUCUCUCCACUACAGAAGGUUAGAUUUCGAAGAAUUUGUCGCCUCGGCAAUUAGUGUUUAUCAGAUGGAAGCACUGGAAACGUGGGAGCAGCACGCCCAUCGUGCAUACGAAUUCUUCGACAGGGACGGCAAUCGGCCAAUUAUGAUCGAAGAACUCGCAUCGGUACGAUUCUCAUAAUUAAGUCAUUUUUCUAAGUCAUUUCUAUUUUCACAGUUGAACCCAUUGAUUACUUUAUGGGCUACGAAGAAAAUUAAUAAAAUUUCUAUGUUUUUUUUUUCCCCUUUCUUAGGAACUUGGUCUUAGCCCUUCAGUCCCUGUUCAUGUUGUUCUGAAAGACUGGAUAAAACAUUCCGACGGGAAACUUAGUCUCCUCGGAUUCAUUAAACUUCUACAUGGGGUUUCUUCGCGGUCGAUUCCCAAAGCCUAGCCAAUGAAAGCCUAAUCCUGUGAAUCCCGAAAUUAGCGCAGAUGAUAAGGUGGUGCAGAAACAAGAUCAUCAGCUUUUAUCACAAGACAAACAAGGUCAAUUUUCUGUUUCUUUUUUUUUGUCAGAUUUGUCACUUCUUUUCCCUAUCGAAUGGAUUGAUCACAGAGCGAAGUCGCUCAGAUGAAUGUAUAGAUUCAGGAUAGUAACUAGAAAAGUUAAAAAGUAAAUCCAUGCUAGGUUUAGUUGGUUCUCCUCCCUGUAGACUCUCAAAUCUCAUUACUCAAUUCUCAAUUAUGAGUAGGGAACUUAAAUUUUGGGGGUGAAAUAGUGUCUAGGGCCUUUUUUCUCAUCCUAUGAGGUAUCAAUGUAUGUAACGAUGAUUCUGCCCAGUAGCAUUAAUAACUUGUUGGGUCCAACCACUGGCCUAAGAUGCUUAAGGAAGAGUCCGUACUCCGUUAGUAGUAAUUCCUUUUCCAUCCGAUACAGGAUUAUUGAUGUGUCACCACCCAAGAGAAGCCUAAAAUGUUGUUAACACCAAAACAAACCACAAAAGCUUCAUCUAAAUGAAAACGUUGUCCAUUUUACUAUGAAGUUUAAACAAGUAGACACUAUUGAAGAUAAUGAAAACAUCGAAACAUCGUCCAGGGACACUAUUCAGCAUGCAUCAUGUGAUUGGUCACAUGCAUUGUACCUUCAAGUAUCAUGCUUAGUUAUUUUUGUUUCCUCUUUCAGUUUCUUUCUUCCGAGGGUCAGUUGGUUGAACGUAAUUGUAAAUGCAAUGUAGUUAGAGAUGCAUAUAGUUGAAAACACUGCAUGUACCCUUUUUGGUUGAAUAGAGUGAAUAUUUGGUUUCAUGUGGUUGAAUUUUGUAUUUACAAUUUUUUUUGCUUUUUAUAUGGAAUGGUGAGGUUGCUUUUAAUAUAUAAGGAAAAAUGUCUUCUCUUUAAAAGAUGAUUUAAGGUUGUAAGCUUAUUUUUUAUUUAAAAUUAUUCUCUUUAUUUGUUACAAUUGGAACUGUACCCAAUUUGGACGUAGUCUUAAUUUCUACUGUUGAGCCUCCUUAUGCUUUUCCAACUGCAGUGUUGGAUUUAAAUGGAUCAAAUUAAACACCAUAUCGGAAUUUGUAUGCAGUUAUAAUUACGGUACAGUUGCAACUACAUGUCCUAAGUAAAUUUCUGGUUACUGGGGAUCAUCAAAAAAAAAAAUUCCCUAAAUUAUUCUGUUCUCAGAUGCAGUAAGUGCUUUUUUCUUAAAACAUAUUUCUAUAUACAAAAUUAUACUUGGCCUGGUGACAACAGUAUUUUCUCUUAAGAUAAACCUUUUUGAAUUGGCCUUGUUUAGAUUCUGCAAUAGGAUAAGCUUGGUUCAGAAUAGUAUUAAAGUUGGAAAAUUAACUAGUUUUGAAUCCCUUUUCCCCUCUCUCUCUCUCUCUCUCUCUCUUGGAGAAAAUUGCCUCUGUAUCCUUGUACAAGUCCUAAAUUUUGUAUUUACCCUUUGUUUCAAAUAUAUUCCAGAAAAGUUUUUUUAUGUAUGUACCCCUGUUUUGAGGGUUUACUCAAAACAAUUAGGUGAGUUUAGAAGGAUAGGUUGAGAAUAGUAAAUUUGUACGGGAGAAGUCGGGAACUUUUUAAGAGUAUAUAAGUAAGGAACUAGUUUUGAAUCUUUGGCGAUAACUUGGGUAGUAUAUGAAAAUAUUUUUCUGUAAUUGCAAGUUGAGAGAUACUGCUUUCCAGCUAUUGUUAUGUAAUUAAAUCUUACAUGCACAGUAAUCUCUAUUCCAAAAAAAGUAAUAUAUAUGUUGAUCAUAUUAUUUGAUUAUUGAUACUGUUUUAUUUGUCGAUCAAUUGUGUGGAGAACAUCACCGAUCAUACCUAGCACAGCUUGUUAAGAAUUUGAUAUUUGAUAAUCAAAAUUUCAAGUUUGAAAUCAAGUUGCUUCACAUUUAUAGCUGAGUUCAAAAAAACUAAAUUCAAAGCGGGUAGCAUGCAGUGUCUUUCUCUCUCAAAAAAGAAAAAAAUAUGGAGAACAUCACCCAAAAAAAAAAACAAAUAACCACAAAAAUGUAUUAAAUUUGAAAAUAAAAUAAUAAAAAAAACCUGUUCUGAUGUUCUUCUAUUUGCUGAUAAAUAAAAUUGAUUAUUAAUAGAAAUAAAAUUUUAAGAAAAGGAAUUUUAAAAACUGGAGAUGCGGGGUAUCGAUCCCCGUACCUCUCGCAUGCUAAGCGAGCGCUCUACCAUCUGAGCUACAUCCCCUGCUGGAAAUUUCGUGCAGUAUAAUAUUUAUAUUAUUAAAAUGUAAGAAGUACGCAAUAAUUAUUAUUAAAUAAAUUAAAUAUAAUAUUAUUUUAUAUAUAAAUUGAGAGGUUCUCGAAAUCGAGAGAUCACGCGAGCGGAGGCUACCCCUCGUCCUCCUCCUCCUCUGCUUCACUCUCUCUCUCUCUCUCUCUCUCUCUCUCUCUCUCUCUCUCUCUCUCUCUCUCAUGGCGAUCCCUCGCAUGAAGAAGAGGCCUCGCCCUCUCCUCCUCCUCGCCCUCACCCUCGCCCUCGCCGCUGUGUCCCUCGUCCUCUUCGGGAUCCUCUUCUUCUCCGCCGCAUCCUCGCUCCCCACCCUCGGAUCCCUCCUCUUCUCCUCCCCCGCCCACUGGUCCGCGAGCGGCGGGGGCGGCGGCGGCGGCGGAGGAGGAUUGUACGGCCUCGAGCGGCGGUACCUGUACUGGGGCCACAGGAUCGAUUGCCCCGGCAAGCAUUGCGAGUCGUGCGCGGGGCUAGGGCAUCAGGAGUCGAGCCUCCGAUGCGCCCUCGAGGAGGCCCUCUUCCUUCAGAGGUCGGAUCUCUUCGAUAUCUUUAAUUCGUUUCUUCUUGUGAUUAAUGGUUUAGUAGUAGCUUUACAUUUACUUCGCUGUGUUCUACUGUAAUUAAAUAUCAUCAUUGGGUUUGGUUUGAGAUCUAGUUUUUCUCUAGGUUUAAUUUUUGUAGUUGGAAAUGUAUGGAGACCUUCUCAACUAUAGAUCAUUUUGAAAUAGGCCCCUCGAAGAUCCCAUCAAAUUUUAGUUAUUUUGAUUGGGGUGAUUCUCCUGAGUUUAAUUGGGGAUUUGUCGAAAUUAAUUGCUCUGUUGAAAAAAAAAAGCUUUUAAAACAGUCAAAUUUAAUUUAAUCACCCUUAAAUUUAAUAAAAAUCAAAUAUUGGUUGACGAAAAUAAUGCAGAUCAAAAUAUCAAAGUUAAGAGCAUCUCAAUUGAAAAAAAAAAAAGAAGAAAGAAAAUUGUUUAGUGGUCUAUUCCAACACUGCUUAUAGUUGAUGGGGUCCCUGUUAGUUGUCUUUGUAAGAAAUAUAGAACUUUUGGUCCAACAUGAUAUUUAUUGCUCCUUCCUUGAAUUUAGGUAAAAGCUUAUGGAAACCCCCUCAACUAUAGGCCAUUAUGAAAUGGUCCCCUCAACUUUAAUUUUUUGAUUGAGUAUGCUUGAACUUUUGAUUUGAUUCAAUUGUAUCAAAUAGAUUGGAAAUUUUAUCAGAUCCAUAGGUAUUUUUUCCGAAUUAAUGGCUUUUAGCAUAUAUAACUAGACCAACUAAAGAUUAAUAAUUAACAAAGUUAUUUAAGGGGUCUGUUUUAAAAUAACCUAUACUUGAGGGGGGUGUCCAUACAUUUUACCGAGAAUUUGUUACCUCUUGCUAGUAGUUAUUGUACUUUGGCCUGAUCGUAACCAAGCUUUGCUACGCUUUAACUAUCUCAAGUUUCCUUACAAGAACUAAUUGUGCACACAAUUCUAGUAUGAUCAGGAACUGAAUCUCGGUAAAGUUCUAAGAUUUGUUGUUUCUUUUCUAUGCAGAGUGUUCGUGAUGCCUUCUAGAAUGUGUAUUAGCUCGAUUCAUAACAAGAAGGGAAUCUUGCAUUCCCCUAGUGAUGCAAGUUCAGAGGAAAGGUAAGCUUAUCAAGUACCAGUCGCUAGCUGUUUUAAUUUUUAGUUGUCUGACAGUAUUUAGAGAUAAUAUAUCUGAGAAUUGACAAUUUUAUCAGUAGAUGUCUUACAGCAGCCUCUUGUUAUUUGGUGUGUUUUGAUCACUAAAUCUUUAUGUAUGAUGCAUAAUGUCAUAAUUUUAUUUCUAUCAUUCUUGUGCACUGUUAUUAGCUCAGUUUCUUGUGGACUGUUCAGGUUUUUCUAAUGUAUUGUGCAUUGUUUGAACCAAAUAUAUCAAGUAUGAUUAGUUGUUUCUCAUUUAUACUUCUGCUUUACAUUUGCUUGACCUGGAAAAUAUUUUUGACGUUAAUCAUUUUAAGAAUCUAAUUCUAGCUUAGAGGUAGUUUAUUGUUGUGAAUGGUAGUCAUAUCUUUUACUCUUUAUUCUUUGAUCUGUUUAUGUUGCAACUGUACCCUAAUUAUAGUAGCCAGAAGAGAUGUCAAAGCUAGAUGUUGGCAAUAUGUUUUCAAUUUGCAUUGUAGCAUUUUGACUUCUGUUAAGUGUUAAAAUUUAUGAUUCAAAUUUAAAUGCUUUACAGAUGGGAAGCUAGUUCUUGUGCGAUGGAUUCUUUGUGCGAUGGAUUAUUUGGUGUGUUUUGAUCACUAAAUCUUUAUGUAUGAUGCAUAAUGUCAUAAUUUUAUUUCUAUCAUUCUUGUGCACUGUUAUUAGCUCAGUUUCUUGUGGACUGUUCAGGUUUUUCUAAUGUAUUGUGCAUUGUUUGAACCAAAUAUAUCAAGUAUGAUUAGUUGUUUCUCAUUUAUACUUCUGCUUUACAUUUGCUUGACCUGGAAAAUAUUUUUGACGUUAAUCAUUUUAAGAAUCUAAUUCUAGCUUAGAGGUAGUUUAUUGUUGUGAAUGGUAGUCAUAUCUUUUACUCUUUAUUCUUUGAUCUGUUUAUGUUGCAACUGUACCCUAAUUAUAGUAGCCAGAAGAGAUGUCAAAGCUAGAUGUUGGCAAUAUGUUUUCAAUUUGCAUUGUAGCAUUUUGACUUCUGUUAAGUGUUAAAAUUUAUGAUUCAAAUUUAAAUGCUUUACAGAUGGGAAGCUAGUUCUUGUGCGAUGGAUUCUUUGUACGAUCUAAACCUCAUUUCAAAAGUAGUUCCAGUGAUUUUGGACAACUCCAAUCUGUGGCACCAAAUACUGUCAACAAGUAUGAAACUAGGAAAGAGGGGGGUGGCUCACGUGGAAGGAGUCAACAGAUCUGAUCUCAAAGAAAAUAGCAUGUACUCAAAUGUGCUUCUAAUAAAUCGCACUGCAAGUCCUCUGGCAUGGUAAAAUUUGUUAUUAUUAUUUCAUUAAGUAACCUUUUAUUCCUUCUUCUUGUCAGAUUUAAUAUCUGGGAUGCGUUUCUUUUACUCCUUUAAAUAUCAAAAUCGAUGAAAGAUGCACAAUUUUGCUAGGUGAAUGUUUGAAACAUCAAGCGCUAGUCUUGAUCAUGAUAACCAUCCAGGUUUAUGGAGUGCAAGGAUAGAACCAAUCACAGCUCUAUUUUGCUGUCGCACUCCCUUUUGCCAACCAUGGCAGCUGAAAGAUUGCAAAAUGUGGCAGAUAAAGUAUGUCUUCUUCAGCUUUUUCUUCUUCUUUUUCCCCUUUAAUUUCGUGCUAGGUGAGAGUGUGACUUUCUUUCUUGUCCUGGAAUAUAUGCAGCUUAUCCUUCCCGCUGUUGUCAAUUGUUACUUGUUUCUGAUUUGGAACUUUCGAUAACCCAGCUCUUCCUAUAUUCAUGAUAGACAGGAUGUACACUCAUGUCAUGAUAAACAAGAUAUACUCCCUUAGGACUACUUCUGUAAUCCGCAUCUUUCAAAUGUCAAACAACCUCUUUACAUUUUUAAGCCCUAUCAUCCAACUAGAGUUGUGUUUCAAUUGCUUUCUUGAGUAGUCAGUGCUGGGUGAUCUUGGUCGAUUUUAAUAGAUGAUUAUUUUCAGGCUAGGUCUCUCUUUCCAUGCACCUUUCCGUGAGUAGGGAUUUUAUUUGUUUCCCAUCGAAUUGGCACACAAAAAAUCAGCUAAAUAAUUUAACUUGUUAUCAGCAUUAAGCUGUUCCUGAUCUCAUCUAUUUGAGGAAAAGAUGUUUGUAUUAGCACUUGAGCCACAUCCGUAUAAUCCGAAUAAUUAAUUAGAGUGACUUGCUCAUAGUAUAAGACCUGUAACUUACCUGUUAGUUUGUUCAACAUAGACAUGUAGUAUUGGUAAUAACAUGCAACACAGUUACUCUUUAGGCACUUGAUUUGGCAUAUACGCCUAGUUUUUAAACAAAACCCAUGUUGAUAGCAAAGCCAACUUGUGGGCAUUGAUUAAGCUACUCCUACACUGCCUACGAACUGACUGAAUUAGACUUGUCUUAAAGUUAUGCGAAAUAGUUAAGAGGUUCGAGUGACCAUAACAUGCUGAGUGUUAUAGUUUAUAUUAUUUGCAUAUCUCUGUGUACAUGGUCCUCUUAUUAAAGCAAAAUGCUCUUUCUGUGUGCGGCCUUCAUUUAGCUUACAAAAAAGUAUAUUCGAUGCAGAUUAAAAAAUCACUUGGUGAUUAUGAUGCUAUUCAUGUGCGGCGAGGGGAUAGGUUGAAAACCAGGAAAGAUAGAUUUGGAGUUGACAGGAGCCGUCAUCCGCAUCUCGACAGAGACACCCGCCCUGAAUUUAUACACCGGAGGAUCGCAAAAUGGAUUCCGCCUGGACGUAGUCUAUUCAUUGCUUCAGAUGAGAGGACUCCCGGCUUCUUUUCGCCUCUAUCCGCCUGGUAUCCCCUAAUCCUUUUUAAUAAUAAUCUGAUCAGUUUAUUUUGGAAUUUACUUCUCAGACCCAUACAAGUCCAAGAUACAUGCGUGUAAGUCCCUUGUCUCUUUUGAUUUUAUGGACCAUUGAUCUUAAGGACUACUAAAUUAUGAUAAGCACUUUAUGUCUAUAAAGAGUUGGGCUUUUUUUUUUUUUAAUGCAUGUAUCCUAUUUUUACUUGUUUUUCUGUUUUAUUUUGUGCCUCAUUACCUCUUAUCGCUUAACCUAAAUAUUAUUUAUAUUUCUCAGCCAUGCAAUUCUUGUCCAACAUAUAUUCAUCUAUAAUGUUACUAUUUCAGCUAAGAAACUAAAUAUUCUUGUGAUUCCACUUGGUCAAUGAAAAUGCCUGGAUAUUGCUUUCAUGUGAUUAAUCAAAAAAUUACAAUAUUUUGUCACCUGCAAAAUUGAGAAAAAGUUUUACAUUCUUGAAACAAGUUUACCUACUAUUUGGACACAUUUAUUGUUCUUCAGGUACAAAUUAGCAUACUCAUCAAACUUCAGUAGCAUAUUGGACCCGGUAAUCGAAAACAACUAUCAACUUUUCAUGGUCGAAAGGUUAAUUAUGGGAGGCGCGAAAACUUUUGUGAAGACAUUUAAGGAAGACGAGAAUGACCUUUUCCUCACAGACGAUCCGAAGAAGAAUCCGAAGAAUUGGCAAAUGCCUGUUUAUACUGACGAAGAAGACGGAAGCUGAAAAAUGGAGAAAAUGCACAAAAGUGCGCACAGCUUGCCUACAUCUUAGUGAGCUUACAAAAUUCAAAUCAGUGAAUUCGACACCUUACUGAAAUAUCGUUUUUAAAUUGGAGGUGUUACUCAUUCUUUUUUUCCUGUUUUUUUGGGGGGGCGGCGAAGAAAGAAAAAAGAAAACAAAGAUUGGAACAGUUGUAUAUUCUGCAAUGCAUAUUUUUUGUGUUACAUGACAUGGAAGAGAUUGUAAACUGUGAUUAUCGUAUUCUUGAGUAAUAGUAGUCAAAAGACAAUUUUAAGACUCAAAUUUGAAUUCGAUUUUUCUUCAUAUACAAAUUUGAAUUCGGAUUCAGAUAUACAUGCAUUCAAGUAUAGACUCAAAGCUAGGCCUGUGAUCUUGAAACAUAAUAAAAAUUUAUAUCCAAAUAUUUAUAUUAAAUAAAGUAUAAUCUUUUCAAAUAUCCAUAUCACGAUCAGUCGCUGCCGUUCCUCCUGCUACUAAGGCCCAAUUUAUAAUUUACGAAAUAAUACUAUCAAAAUUUUAUUUAGUCAAAUAAUUCUAUUUCGUAAAGAAUUAAUUAGUCAAAUAAAAUUUUAUACAUUUUUUUUAUUCUAAUUUUUAUAGAGAUAUUAAGUAAAAAAAAAAACCUUUAAAUAUCGUCCCCGUGGUUUCACACUUUUUUAUUUUAGUAUCCUAUAAUUUAAAGUGUAUCAAUUUAGUAAACCGUGAUUUUAAUUUUCUCUUUUUAUUAUUUUUUGCACUAAUUUUUUUCGUUAAAUCGGUGUUAAAUCGGUGAUAUAGUUAAAACUAAAAAAUACUAAAAUGAGAAUAUUCGAUAAAUUUAGAUAGAAUAUCUGAAGUAUUUUUAUAUAUCAUUUAACGAAAUAUUAAUGAAGAAGCUGACGAAAAAAAAAAAAAAAAAGUACUAAAUUGUUAUUACACUUUAAACUAUACGUACUAAAAUAAAAAAUUACAAAAUAAUAGGAUGAUAUUUAAAAUUUACCCAAAAAAAACAAGGAAGAAAAAUCCUUUGGCCCGAAGGCAUUCCCCCGUCGCUUUCAGCCAGUGGCAUCUGCGUCGCGCAGGGCCGCUAAAUCGGUCGGCUGUCUUUACACGGGCACGGAUCCACUGGCGCCACGCGGCCCAAUGGGAAAUCAGAUUUAGAUGGAAUUUCUUCUCAGCCACACACACCGACACAUGAUACAUCACACAUACAUCCUCCCUCACCCACAAAACCAACCAUCUAUACAACUUCUCGGAGAAGCUCCUCCCCCCUCUUUCCCAAUUUCCUCCCCCCUUAUCCACAAGCGCUUCUCCUCAGUGUUUUUUUUUUUCUCCUUUUUUUUUUUCAAAAAAGAGAUCUUUCUUUUUGUUUAUUGAUCCCUCCAUCUCUUCUUCCACCACCAAAUUACAGUAAGAAUCCUUAAAUUCUUCUUCUUCUUCUUCUUCUUCUUCUUUUGAACUUUUUCUUCUUUUUUAGUUGUUUAAGGGUGCUUGCUUUUGAGGUUUAUUUGAUUUUUACCUGCUUUUCUUGGGUCGGUUUGGGAUUUUGGAUCUUGGAUUUUGGAUUAUGGAUGAUCGUGCUUUGUAAUUUUAGUUCUUCUUUGUGGGUUUUACUUUUCUUUUUCUCAUGUAAGUUAUAAGUGGAUCUGUGCCCUUUUUUCUUCACUUGAUUUCUUUUUUCCUUCUUAUUCGAGUCUUUUUCUGAAAAGAUUAAAUUACUACUAGUAUGAAUCUAUGCUUUCUAGCUUAGUUUUACUUUUGGAUCUUACUUUUUUUUAAAAAAAAAAGAAAUUUAACUUGAUUUUUCCUGAUAUGAUGAUCGAUGUUUAGAAUUUUGCUUAAAAAAAGGCCAUAUAUAUAUAAAUAUAAAUGAGAAAAACCAAUUGUUGUGGAUGCGAAAUUACCAUGUUUUUAUAGUUUUAUUAGCUUUGUAUUCCCCAUUUUUGCUUACUCUGCUAGAAAAAUGAAAGUGAAAAUUAUCAACUAACAGGUCUUGAUCAUGUGGAAUUUCUUCAGAUCCACAUGAAAAAAGAGAAAUUGCAAAAUUUUACUACCAUCGCGAGUGUUUCGAUUGCUUAUGUUGAGCAGAUUCGAUAAUCUGACAUGUUCUUAUUUACAGAUAAGCAGCAUGGAUUGGUAUUUCCUCGAAGAAAGCGACGAUUUUCUUGUCCCGAGUGAUCAAGAACCCUUUGGAGAUGUUCCUGCGUUUUCAGAUGACUGGCGUUCUUGGGCCGUCGCUCCGCCAAAAGUUUCUCAGCCGUGCGGGGAUGAUGCUCUUCUGCAGCACGGUCGAGGUUUAUAUGCUGACGAAAUGAAGCAGAGUGCAUUCAAAGAGGGAGAAAGAGGAUUCGGUGAUUCGACCGCACGGGGAGAGUCUACGCCGCUCGAUUGCUGUCCAAGAAGCUCGGAAGAAUCGUUCGAAUGUCAGACCAAGUGCGAGAUGCCGGACAACUUGGAGGAAAUGGAUAACAUUUUCUUGUGCAAGCAUAACUUCCGGGAUCCUUGGUAAAAUAUACAUAUAUAUAUAGUUUUAGCUCCUAUUGGAAAUAAAGUAGUUUGUUUUACAUAAAAAGUAGGGCUUAAAUUACAUAUCUGUAUGUUAUGUGUAAAUUAAAAUGUAGUGGAUCUUAAAUUAAGGUAUAAACAGUUAAAUAUGAUCAAGAACAUCUAAGAUGCAUGCUGAUAAAGUUCCACAAAUUUUGAAAAUCGAUUUCUUACACAUCGAGUGGUGUUAAGAUCAAUGACCCGGAAUUUACAAAAAAAGGGCUUUUUUUUAUAUAGGUCUUCAAAAAUUAUGAUUUUUUGUAAGUAGGUCUAUUUUAUGUUGUAAAUCACUUUCAAGCGGUUUAGAUCUUCAUUUUGAAACUUUUGUGAUUGGAUUUUAGCUUGUGUUAGUAGUGUGUAACUUAAAAGUGUGUAAUUGGGUCUCUACUCUAGAUAUAUUUAUCUUGCAACCUCAAAUUUUUAAAUAGGCCCUUUAGAAACUUAUUUUCGAGUAUAUAUUAACCAAUUCGUGACGAACUGGAUGACUUUCGAGUCUCAACUUAGAUAAACAUAUUUUUAUAGCUGCAAAUAGAUGAUUUUGCCGGGAUAUAUUAAUAAAAACCCCUAAGUAGUUUGUACUUCUUUGGAUUUUGAUGUCAUGGAUGCUUAUGCAGGAAUUCAUUUCUGGAAGUAGAUACACGGAACAUGGAAAACGCAUUUGAGCCAGUACAAAUGUUCCCCGACUCUAUGUACAGGUCGUUGUCGUUUGAGAAUAUAUUGGCGACUAUGCUCGCCGAUCCACAAAAUCAUUCGGCAAGUUUAAGUAGAAGUGAAAGUAUGAAUGAUCUUGAAGCCUGUGGAAUUCCUCUGUUCCCUAAUGACCUGUCGGAAGAUUUCGAGAAGACUGAUGACUGCUCAUCUUCAUGCGUGAAUAUGCCAGACGGGUCUGUAAUACUUCGUGCCGAGGUAAAAUCAUCUGUCGUUUCGUUAAUUGAUAAGGUCGUGUUGAUGCAUAUUUACCAAAAGAAUUGAUGAAAGAUUAGACAUUCUGUUCGAAUUCUCUUUAGCCAUUAAACUUGCCAUAUUUUAGGUUUUAUUUGCUCUAUGCUUCGAGUCCUUAGUUUUGAGGUUUGAAAUGUAGUAUCUUGGAUUUCGAGUUUCUGCUGAAUUGUUAAUGUACAGAAGAAAACUAAAUGCUAGUAUUCGAAUUUCGAUCACCUUUAAUCUGCUGUCUCAUAGCUGGUUUUCACACACAUUUUUGUUGAUAGUUUAUUAAUUCCUUAAUUAUUAUUUAACCUUACUUCCUUUGGAUGAGAAAUGUCCUUAUAUUCUUAUUAUUAUCAUGUUCCAGAGAGGCAUGACCUUGGGUGCUUCAUGUUUAGUGUAAUUUCACUCUCAGGAUUCGGAUCCCUACAUAUUCGUUCCGGCUGAAGUUAGACCAACAAGUGAGAGCAAAUUAGUUGCUGCUGAUGCAGAGAAGCCUAAAUGUUCGGAGGCGACAGUGCUGCGAGAGCUUGAAGAUGCAAUAUUGCUGGUAAAUUCAACAACGAAUCCUACGUCGUUUUCCCCUAAAUUCAUUUCGUGUUUCUGAAGUAUGCCAAUUGAACAGCUAAAUGAGGAGACGAGGAUUUGCUUCCGCGAUUCUUUGUACAGACUUGCUAGUAGUUCGAAAGACAAAAAACGCAAAAGAGAUGAAAGCAGAAUCACGGAGACGACUGUUGUCGCUUCGGCUCCAAAGAUGAAGGGUGUAAGUUCAAGGUAUGCCGCGAAAAUUUUCCUUGUUGCUAGUUCGGAGCUUCUGUAUCUGACAUUUUCCUAGUUGCUGGUUCAUGCUAAUAAGUAACAUAAUGUCUAAUCCUGUAUUAAUGGUAAUUCCUUCUCUUGUUUUUUGUAAUCCAUCGGAACUUUUGGCAUCGUUAUACCAUUCCGACAAAUGUAUCGACACAAUAAAGGCUUAAAUACAAAUAACCCCCCUUCAAUUUUCGCCGUGUAUAUAAAAUUGCAUCAAUUUUGAUCCUUAACUUUACAAAUGUCUGAAAUAGGCAGAAGGACAUUAUUAGUUGUGUGAAUCUGCAACUAGCUUAUCUUUACGAAAUAAAACAGGAGUUUUUCACAAACUUUGGUAAUUUAAAUCUGCAAGCCACCUACUCGCAUUUGCGCGCGUUUUCUUCUUCUUUAUCUUGCUUACUCAAGUCAUUAUUACUCAUUUCAGGGCAAAUAAAUCUGAGUGCACGGAAACGGAGACCAACAUAAUCGAUAGGACUGUCGCGAACCUCGUGUUCAAUCAGUCAUUUGCUGGCUCUUCAGACGCGAAAAAUCCUGUGCUGGCUUCGUAAGUGAAAGGAAAAUCAUUCGGCAGUUUCGGGCUCGUGCACCAAGUCAGAUCUUCCAUGACCAACUCUACUCUAUUGUAUGAGUGAUAAGUUGCACCAUGGAUCUUUUUGAGCAAGUAACAAGAAGCAAUGAGUAGGAACAAGUUAUUACUUUUUGUAACUUAUCUAAACUUUGGAUCAUUUUGAAUUGACUACGUAAACUUUCGAAAGGUUGAUUUUACUAUCCAACCUGUCAAUCUGUUUAAUUUCAGUCAGUCGACGAUGCUUCGACUUCAAAAUUUAAGUUUAUUAAAACAAGCAAUUAUCUCAAACUUUGAAAUCAAAGUAUCGUCGACUGACUUAAAGCAAACAAAUUGAAAAUUCGAAUAGUAAAAUUGAAGUUUUGAAAGGUGGGUAGUUGAGUCAAAAGGUUGUAAAUUUUUACCUUGUAUUGAUCCAUCUAGUUUGAGCAGACAUUUUUGUGCAGAUCUCGUGAUGUUAUUGUAUAUGUCAAAAGGAUGUGUAGUUGUAAAAAUAUGAGAUGCCACCAAAAUUGGAGAUUAUAAUUUUGGAUAAUGUUCUAUGAUGACCUCUCCUAAAUGCUUUGCUUAUACUCUGGACUGGAUGAUCUGUUCUUUUUGUUUUUCUUUAAUUUGUAGGCUAGAUUAUGAAGGGGUAAAUUGCACUAUUGGUUCUCAAACUACGUGGCGCAUGAUAUUUUGUUUCUCGAACUUUUAAUUUAUUACAAUUACAGCUGGCUUGAAUUUCUAAAAUGUGGUUGCGAUUAAGUCCUACAAUAUAAUUUAGUUGACUAAAUGGUAAUAUGCCGGUGAUGUAACUAUAACAUAAUAGUAUACAACACUGUCAUAUUAGCGACACAUUAUUUGUCAAUCAACUAAAUUAUAUUGUAGAAUUUAAUCACAAUAAUUUAAAAAGUUUAAACCAGUUAUAACAAUAAAUUAAAUUUUGAGGACCAAAUUAUUACCUACCUUACAAAUUGAGGACCAAAAGUGCAAUUUAGCCAUUGUAAACUUCAGUGCAAGCAGUUAAAAUAAGGGAAGAUUUUGGGUGAAGGCCCCUGAGUUAAUUAAUUAAUUAAUUUGUUAAGCCCAGUUUGAAUGUCGGAAUAAAUUAUGUGAUAAUAACUGAUUCGAUAUAUAAGAAUUUUCUAUUGAGAUUAAAAACUUGGUUUAGACAUUGUUUUAGUAACAUAAAGAAGAAAAAAAAAGAAUAAAAAAAUUCAAAUAAUUACAUUGAGAAGUAAAUAGAGAAAAUAAUAAUUAAUAAAAGGGCGAGAUUUUGGCAAGAUAAGUGUUGGGUUAGUGAUAUCAAAUUUACUUAUUAGCCUAAUUGGUUUUAUUUUGGAUUUGGUUCAACAACUCAUGUAAUGGGCUAGUUAGUAUUUGGUUUGGGCUUUAGUUGACCCAUUUGGUAUGUUAAGCCAAGUGGAGUUAAGAGAGAACUCUUUGGCUGCGUUUGGUUGGAGACUAGAUUUUGGAGAACAACUUUUGUUGUUCCCGAGAACAGUGGAUAUUCCGGUACAAGAUAGAACAAUUGUAAAUUUGUGUUUGGAUGAAUUCGAGAAUAUUCUAGAGGAUAUCCUUAAUAGCGUUCGGAUAAAAAGUCUAGAACAACGUCUAAAUAUAUUUUUAAAAAUAAAAUAAUUAAUUUAUAUUAGUAUAUUUUAUAUAAAAUUAUUUAUAAAAUUAUUUCAUAUAGUAAUUUAUAAUAUAAUAUUUUAUGUAAGAAUCUAAUUUAAAAUAAUAUAUUUUAUUUUAUUAUAUAUAAUAAUUUAUUUUAUGUAAUAAUUUAUUUUAUAUAAUUUAUUCAUAAUAUAUUAAUGAAUAAAGUAUAAUACUAACAAUAUCCCUAUAUUUUUAAUUAAUAAUUAGUAUAAAUUUCAAUACAAAUGGCGGAAUGACUGUUAUUUAUAGUACUGUAAAAUUGGUCUCAACGGUGAAACAACCAUCUAGAAACGGGCACGACGGCCUAUGACACUAUCGGUAUAUUCAGAAUAUUACGAUCUGUUAAUCUCCCCAUGCUAACAAACUCCAACUACCCACCUAAUUGGUUUUGGCCAAAUUACAAGGGGUUUGGUACAGUAACCUGGCUUUCCGCAACACUAACAAACAGUGACAUCCCUUGCAAAUCUUGAAUUUUUGAUUUGAAGAGCUUAUGCGGCUAAAACCUCUUUAAUUGCGUUUUGAAGAUGGCUCUUUCGGCGAAAGUGUUUACAUCUUGGUCCGUGGCAUGUGAAAGUCAUGGUAACUAUUCGUUAUCAUCAAGAGGACAGUGAUUAAGAGCAAGUUGAAUCUUCAUCCAAUAUGAAAAGCCAACUAGGGAACUCUUACUCCAGAAGCACAUCUAAUAAAUGCCAACUUCGCAACCAACCGCAAAAAGACCACAGACAACAUUAUUUCAAGUGCAAAAAUUCCAAGUACUUAGAUCCUGCUCAAACAAAUAUCUAGGUUUAGACUUUUGAUAAGUAACACAUUUUGACCUAAUUAUUGUACUAUAAUAAGAAUCAUCUGUCAUCUCUUUGAUAAGAAAUGCUAAAACUUGCCGAAGCAAAGGUAGGGGAGAUGAGAGGUCAUAGUAACUUCUGGAAUCAUUGCAGGCCUUCAGAAGAAACAAUUCCAGCAGGAUGCGAUACCUAGGUAUUAAUGGGCUAUACACUUAUAGAUUCCAAAAGCCUCUCGACUUUGUGCCAAAGAUUACCUAAAAGCGUGACAAAUUCAAGCGUUAAUGCAGCGUAUCAGAUCUAUUGUUCUCCAUCUCAUCUCGCCCUCAUCAAAUCAACAUAUGCCGAAUCCAUGAUCGCGCUUCUCGCGUGGUCAACUUUGAUUGUGCGACCCAUGAAUCUUCUACGCUGUUUUGGAAUGUCACGCUCAUGACCGUCUUUCCAAUACACGAGUACUCGGCCUCUCGACUGUUUCCAGUUGAACAGUGGUGAUAUCUCAUAACAUUAUAAGGCAGAGAUACUAUAUAUCGCCGAUACUGUACCCAAUACAAUGAGCUACUAAACGCUAUUCAAUGCUAGGCUGUUGUGUAUUGAGCCACUAUUAUAUAGAUCGAAUAUCAGAGACGUAAAAAAAACUCCAAAAGUGAGCCCCAUGUCAAGUAACAAUAACAAUUAGCAAAACAAAAAUUUUAGUUUAAGUAAACCUAGUUUAAGAAAUCUAUGUUCAUAUUUAUAGAUAAUAAAUGACUCUUCAAGGGAAAAGAUGUAAUCAAAUAUUGCACAACAGUCGUGGAGUCUGUUUCUGCAAUAUGCCUAUAAAUUACAGCUUACCAGCCGGAAUCAUGACAUUCUUGUGCCUCUAACCCAUGCAUCACUCUAUGGCCUAAUUGUUAGAUAGAUAGUAGAUUAUAAGGCAACCUGCAACUGAAGAAAGCAAGCAUCACCCCGAUUGCAAGCUGAAUUGCUCUCAUGUAUCUUAUUCACUAUAUUUGAUUCAUGGCAAUCGAUGUGCUUAUACAUUGCUUCAGUUUAUAUCUCAAAGGGACUUAUAUCACUGUGUAGGAUUUAUUAAAAACAUAUAAAAGUGACUGGUAUCAUAUCCUUUAUUCUGUCUAUACCNNNNNNNNNNNNNNNNNNNNNNNNNNNNNNNNNNNNNNNNNNNNNNNNNNNNNNNNNNNNNNNNNNNNNNNNNNNNNNNNNNNNNNNNNNNNNNNNNNNNNNNNNNNNNNNNNNNNNNNNNNNNNNNNNNNNNNNNNNNNNNNNNNNNNNNNNNNNNNNNNNNNNNNNNNNNNNNNNNNNNNNNNNNNNNNNNNNNNNNNNNNNNNNNNNNNNNNNNNNNNNNNNNNNNNNNNNNNNNNNNNNNNNNNNNNNNNNNNNNNNNNNNNNNNNNNNNNNNNNNNNNNNNNNNNNNNNNNNNNNNNNNNNNNNNNNNNNNNNAUACUUUGAUCAAUAGAGAACAUUGCAUAAAGUAUGACAGCAUCAUAGCUCAGCAUGUAUGAAUCGUCAUUUGAAUUGAACUGGCGGCAACAUUUGGCUAAUACCAUGCUUCCAAGCCACAAAACAUCUGAUUCCACCAUGCAUCAUAGGUAAUGGGAUGAUUUCAUCGGAAUCCAUAUUGGGACUGAAAAACACCAAUAACCGAGUAAAGGCAACAAAUUAAACCCAAAAAGGAACUAAAAAGCUCACCUCCAGGCUCCAAGUAUGCGGAUAAUAGAACGUUUUUAUAUCAUAGUCAAGUAGGGACUAGAGAUCCUCAAGGCCCAACUAUUAUCGAGAAGAUUUUGCAUCUCACAACAGAGACAUAUAUAGAACAUCAAAAAGGCCACUUACUUGUCUUAGGUGGAAGUAGAUAAAGAGUAGUAAUGGAGGGACUUGACAAGUCAAGCAAGCUUCAGAGAUGUAUUAACUUGCAGCCGAAAAAAUUGACUCAAUUAAUAACAAAUCUGCACAGGAAAUCGAGCAGUAUCCAUCCAUUCUUGAGAGGGAGAUGCAGAUGCACAUUAAACAACUCCAAUUAAUGUUGGUUUUGAAGAAGAGAAGAAGAUGAGGCCUCUCGAGGCGAGUCGACAACUCGAAGCAACACAAUCCAAGAAGGAUCUAACUUUCUACUUUGCAUCCGAGGGAAAUCACCUGAAUUUAUUGAAGAUCUGCACAAGGAACUGAAGAUCGGCUACCAAUUGAUGAGGUUGGGAGGUAGAUUGAAAUCGCUACCAAUUGAUGAGGUUGGGAGGCAGAUUGAAAUCAUUCCCACAUAGUUAAUGCUGGUUUUAAGCUCCAGAGGAAGGAUUAGGUUUAAUAUGGAGUUAAUAUGAAAGAGAAAAAACCGGCGGCGUUGAAAAGUGAAGAGAGCUGAGAAGAAGAGGAGUAGGUGAGAGGAUGGAGUUAAGAGGGAUUUGAGGAGGAAGAAGAAGGCUUCAGCAGGGGAAAGAGACGACAAUGGCAUAGAAUGGGUAGGUGAGUUGGUGGAGAGGAGAGUAAAGUUGCUCGGGUUUCGAGAAAAUUUAUUUUUUACUACAUCUACCCCUGCAAUUCUCGAGAUUUAAUCCUUAUUCGAGGGGUGAGGAUGAAUAAAAUUAACGGGUUAUUCCAUGAUAUUCUGGAAUAACCCGUUUUGACCGGGUUAAAAUAUUUAGAUGGAAUUCAAUUUUGUUUGGCAAAAUAAUUAGGAUAAAUCAGUUUAUUCCCCUGUUAUUCUGUUACCAAACGCAGCCUUAUUAUUGCUUCUUAUAUUACUAUUUUUUAAUUAUUUAUUCAUCCUAUCGUGUGAAUUACUGUACUAGAUAAAUAUUAAAUCGUAAACUUUUAAAUCCGAUAUAUGUCACCGUUUGGAUGGGGGAUAAGGGGAGGGACAACCCUUAUCCCCCUUUAUACCCAAAUAUAAUUUUUUUACUCGAGAAUAGUAAUUCUCGGGUAUCUGAAAUAAGCUGGUAUAACUAUUCCUACCAAUAUCUUUAUUUUUUAUAUAUACAUACCCACUAUUUUUUUUAUUUUAUAUUAUUUAUUUAAAUAUUAUUUUUUUUAUUUUUAAAAAUAGCUCAAUUUUUAUCCAAAAAUUAUUUUUUUUAUCUCCAUUCUUAUACCUAUCUCCGAAAAUAUAUAGUGCCAACGCGUCACUCACAUUCUUUGAAUGUGGAUAUAAAAGUGGGAAAACAAAAAAGCGUUAGAAUGGCAAAUUCCCGUAAUUUCAACCAAUCAGCGGGGUCAAAUGUCCCGCACGCAGCUCGAAAAGUAGAGGGCCGCGGUUCCCGUGCCUUUAUUCCCCGGAAGACGAGCAGAGACCCCUCUCUCUUUGUCCCUCUUGUCCUUUCCAUCGCUCCUUUCCUCUUCCUUUCCCACCACCACCACCACCACCGCCACUCCCCCCUCCCCACUCCCACACUACUAACAAAAAAAAAAAAAAAACAAACAAACACCUCUCUCUCUCUCUCUGCUACUAUACCACGCUUGCACUUGUGUACUUUUUAUCUCACUAGAAGAAGGAAGGAGAAAGGUGGGAGAUCGAGAUGGUGGAGGGGAAAGGGUCGACGCUGGUCCACGUCCUCGUCAUCGCCCUCAGCCUCACCGCCUUCGGCUUCGCCAUCGCCGCCGAGCGCCGCCGCAGCACGGUCAGUCUCAUUUCUCUCCCUCGCCCGAAAAAUCGAUCCAUCGAUCCGGUAGAAAACGGACAGUUCACCAAUAAUAAUCCUACAGUUAAGAUCAGGUGAAUCACAUCAAAUCAACCCCCACACUUUUGCGCAUUGCAUCCAUGUGUUUUCGUAUUUUCUCAUUUUAGUAUCCAUAGUUUUAUUUUUCUCUUUUUUCACCCUCCUGUUAACUUUUCGUUAAAUUAUUAUAUAAAAAAAGCUUCAGAUACACCAUUUAUAGUUUAUCGAAUAUUAUUUCCUUUAUUACUCUUUAGUUUUUACUUUGUUACUGAUUUAACAAAAAAAAAUUAAUAAAAAAAAAAAAUCCACAUGGUACGAAAGUGAUAAACUUUAAGUCACGAGGUACUAAUGUGAGAAAAUGCGAAACCAUGUGAGAAAAUGCGAAACCGAGUGGUAUUUAGGCUGCGUUUGGUUGGAGAACUAGAUUUUGGAGAACAAUUUUUGUUGUUCCCGAGAACAGGGGAUAUUCCGGUACAAGAUAGAAUAAUUGUAAAUUUGUGUUUGGAUGAAUUCGAGAAUAUUCUAGAGGAUAUCCUUAAUAGCGUUCGGAUAAAAAGUCUAGAACAACAUCUAAAUAUAUUUUUAAAAAUAAAAUAAUUAAUUUAUAUUAGUAUAUUUUAUAUAAAAUUAUUUCAUAUAGUAAUUUAUAAUAUAAUAUUUCAUGUAACAAUUUAAUUUAAAAUAUUAUAUUUACUUUAUUAUAUAUAAUAAUUUAUUUUAUGUAAUAAUUUAUUUUAUAUAAUAUAUUCAUAAUAUAUGUAAUGAAUAAAGUAUAACUUACAAUAUCCUUAUAAUUUAAUUAAUAAUAGUAUAAAUUUCAAUACAAAUUAAAAAAUAUAUAUGAUACAUGAAAAAAUACUUUUUUAUGUAUAGUACUUAAUAUAAAAUAAAAUAAUUAAAUAUUAAAAUAUAAAUAACAAAAUUUAAUAAAAUAAAUAAUAUAUCAAAUUUAAUUAAUUUUAUAUUAUAUAAUAAAAUUUAUGUGUAAAUAUAUUAUCAUUAAAAUAAUAUUUAUAUUAAUAUAUUUAUUUAUAUAUCUAUUUAUCUAAUAAAAUAAAUAGAAGAACUAAGUUGUUCUCAAUUCCCUAGGAACAAUUUUUAACGGGUUGUUCCAGAACAACGCAGAACAACCCGUUUUGACUGGAACAACCCGUUCUCCGCUGUUCCUCUACCGUUUGGUUAUAAUUUCGGGAAUAUCCCGUGCUGUCCCGAAAUAUUUCCGGUACCAAACGCAGCCAAAGGGUUAGAGGGAGUGAGUUCUCUUUUUGCUCUCUAGGUUUUCCCUUUUCUUGUAAUAGAGAAGAGAGGUGUAGAGAAAGUUGGAGAAGGAGCUCUCUUGUUCUUCUUGCUUGAUUCAAAAGCUUCCAAGGUAGAUUGGAAGAAUUCUAAGAGGUAUUCCGAAGCGGGACCCGCGGAAUCGGAAGGUGCUUCAAAGAAGGUGUAGCAAGAAGGGAUUUCUAUUGAAAGAUUGUAAGCCCAUUAAAAUAGAAUGGUAAUCUCUAACCAAAUCUUGUAAUCUCCUCAUUUGAUAGUGGAUUUGAUCUCUCCGUGCCCGUGGAUGUAGCCUGGUUUGGGUGACCACGUAAAUCUUGUGUUGUUGUUGUGGUUGUGCUUGGAUUUUUCUUUUUCAACUUCAUUUACUCCAAUCUUGCAUAUCUUAGUUGUGGAUAAUUUAGAUACAUCACAUUUGUUUACUAGUGUGAUUAGUAUCUUGAUAGUGAAGGUUCCGUCAUUAGCUCACUAC
Molecule: long non-coding RNA, 59754 nt
Filed under: Ananas comosus (pineapple)
Lineage: Eukaryota; Viridiplantae; Streptophyta; Magnoliopsida; Poales; Bromeliaceae
Description: long non-coding RNA (ACOM_LNC007581)
Source: RNAcentral